Molecule: long non-coding RNA, 63912 nt
Filed under: Medicago truncatula (barrel medic)
Lineage: Eukaryota; Viridiplantae; Streptophyta; Magnoliopsida; Fabales; Fabaceae
Description: long non-coding RNA (MTRU_LNC003712)
Rfam family: MIR5269 microRNA precursor family (bases 59826-59905)
Source: RNAcentral
UUUCAAAAUUAAUCGACCUCUUCCAUCUUGCUACCCUCUGCAUCAGCAUCAGCUUCCUCCAAUGGUGGCAUGUCAGCAUCAGCUUCUGCUGCAUCCUCAUCAAUGCUAAGUCCAAGCUUGAGCAUCCUGUGAAUCCUGUUGCCAAAGGUGUUGGGCUCAUCAAGGCUGAAUCCAGAGGUAAGAAGAGCAGUCUCAAACAGCAAGAGGACAAGAUCCUUCACAGAUUUGUCAUUCCUAUCAGCAUCAGCACGUUUCCUCAGCUCCUCCAUAAUGGGAUUCUCAGGGUUGAUUUCCAUUGUCUUCUUGCUUGACAUGUAACCAGCCAUGCUGCUAUCCCUCAAAGCCUGUGCCUUCAUGAUCCUCUCCAUGUUGGCAGUCCAACCAUACUCACCAGUCACUAGACAGCAAGGAGAGUCCACAACUCGGUCAGAAACAACCACUUUCUCAACCUUGUCGCCCAACACUUCCUUGAUCACCUUGCAGAGGUUGUCAAAUUUCUCCUUCUGUUCAUCCAUCUUUUUCUUUUCAUCCUCGCUCUCAUCAAGUUUCAAACCUUCCUUAGUUGCAGAUACCAGCUUCUUUCCCUCAAAUUCCUUGAGCUGGCCAACAGCAUAUUCAUCUAUAGCGUCAACCAUGUAAAUCACUUCAUAUCCCUUCUUCCUAAGUUUCUCAAGGAAGGGGGAAUUCUCAACAGCUUUCUUGCUUUCACCGGUGAUGUAGUAAAUGUCAUUCUGUCCUUCCUUCAUCCUGGUAACGUAGUCCUUGAGGCUGGUCAUGUCAUCACCACUCUUGGUGGAGUGGUACCUGAGCAAAUCAGCAAGCUUUGUCUUGUUUUGAGAAUCCUCAUGGAUACCCAGCUUCAAGUUCUUAGAGAAGGCCUCAUAGAACUUGUUGUAGUCUUCCUUGUUCUCAGCAAUUUCAAAGAAAAGCUCAAGGCACUUCUUCACCAAGUUCUUCCUUAUGACCUUGAGAAUCUUGUUCUGUUGAAGCAUCUCUCUUGAAAUGUUAAGUGGGAGAUCUUCAGAGUCCACAAUACCCUUCACAAAGCUAAGAUACUCAGGCAUCAACUCCUCACAGUUGUCCAUGAUGAAAACACGGCGGACAUACAGCUUGAUGUUGUUGGGCUUCUUCUUUGUGUCAAAGAGAUCAAAAGGUGCUCUCUUGGGUACAAAGAGAACAGCCUUAAACUCCAACUGACCCUCAACUGAGAAGUGCUUAACAGCCAAAUGCUCUUCCCAAUCAUUGGUGAGACUCUUGUAAAAAGCAGCAUACUCAUCCUUUGUAAUCUCCUCGGGCUUCCUCAUCCAAAUAGGUUUUUGCUUGUUCACCAAAGACCAUUCAUUAGACACCUCCUUAAUCUUUUUCUUUUUCUUCUCUUCCUUUUCUUUCUCCUCAUCUACUUCCUCAACCUUACCCUCCUCUUCCUUCUUCUCUUCCUCAUCCUCAUCAUCAGAAAUCUCUUUCUCAAUAGUCUUCUCAACCCAAAGAGAAAUUGGAUAGCUGAUAAAUUCAGAAUGUUUCUUAACCAAGUCCUUCAGACGGCGUUCCUCAAGAUACUCAAGUUGAUCCUCCUUGAGGAUGAGAGUUAUCUUAGUUCCCCUGCCAAGAGCUUCGCCAGUUGUGUCCCUAGUCACAGUGAAUGACCCUCCAGCUUGAGACUCCCACACAUACUGUUCAUCAUCGUUGUGCUUUGUGGUAACAAUAACCUUCUCGGCAACAAGGUAGGCAGAGUAGAAACCAACACCAAACUGUCCAAUCAUGCUCACAUCAGCACCAGCAGCUAUGGCUUCCAUGAAUUCCUUGGUACCAGACCUAGCAAUGGUACCUAGGUUGUUCACCAAAUCUGGAACAAAAAUACAUAGAAAUAUUAGUAAACAACAUAAAAUAUCACACGACACAGUGCUGCUACAUAAACCAAUUUCAGGCUAAGAAAAGGGAGAAAAAAAAAGCAUAUUAACUUACCAGCUUUGGUCAUUCCAAUCCCACUAUCAAUGAUAGUCAAAGUGUUGUUGGUCUUGUCAGGAAUAAUGUGAAUGAACAACUCUGGCUGAGAAUCAAGCUUGCUCUUGUCGGUCAAGCCCUCAAACCGAAUCUUAUCCAAAGCCUACAUUACAAAAUUCCAGCACAUAAUCAGAACAAUAUUCAUACCCACAACAGAAAAUCAUCUAUCACAUUAAUCAUUCAUAAAAUCGAAUCCUAACAAUCCAAAGUAAUAGUAACAAUUAUACUUCUAGAAACAAGGAUUUCUAGUCACAAACAACUUCAAUUUGAAAAUUAAAGGAUCAACAAACCUUCCAUUCAAAAAUUAAAGAGUUGAUUAUGAUUAACAUAGAUUACUUGUCACAUACAACUUUCAUUCAAAGACUAAAGUGCCGAUUAUAUCAAUAACAUUACAUAGUAUAUGAUUAAAUGAAAACAUUACACAGUAACAAAUAGAUCACAUAAUCAAGGUUGUUAUCAAUACAAACGGGACUAAUUAAAAAUUUAAUUUCAAUUUAGGUAUUUCAAGUAUCACUCUAAUAUGAAUCAACGAUAGAACAAUCAUCACAAUUUAACUUUAAAUUAAAAUCAAUGAAACCUAAACAUGACUAACAAAUCAUCACUGUUAAUCAUAAUCAACCAUCAUAAUCAUCACUGUUAAACAACAACGGAAAAAUCACAAAGAUCCUAAACAACGCCACCAACCAAAACCCUAGGAGUAUAUAAUCAAUUAACAUAAACCCUAAAAUUGAAAAAAUAAUCCAAUUAAAACGAUAACAAAAGAAAUCAUCAAAAUCAUAAUAAAAUAGAACCUAAACUAGAUCGAACCCUAAUAAAGAUAAAAAAUAAAAUAAAAAAGCAAAAAAAAAAAACGAAGAGGAAGAAGCUUACAUCGGAAGCGUUGCUGAUGAGUUCACGAAGAAAAAUCUCCUUGUUGCUGUAAAAAGUAUUGAUGAUGAGACUAAGAAGUUGAUUGAUCUCAGCCUGGAAAGCGAACGUCUCUUGUUCCGCCAUUGCCGAUCUGGUUUUUCUAGAGAGAGAAAGCGUUUGUCGUAGAGAGAGAGAGAGUGAACGAGUUUUGCAGAGUGUGAAGUGAGUGAGUUGUUAUAUAAUAAGUGUUUGCUAGGGUUUCUCGUUUUCUAGAUCCUUCUAUUUCUAUAUUUAUAAUUAUAAAUUAAAUAACUUUAUUUGUUCAAAUAAUAACUUUAACUUAAUUGCGAUUAUUUGGGUCCACUUUACUCUCAACUUACCACUUGGAUUUUUUUUUUGAAGGAACUAACCACUUGGAUGUGAAGCGUAGACUUGGUUUUCUUCUUUUUUAUUUCUUUUUCUGUUUUAUUUACACCAAUAAUAUUUGAAGGUUGAUCGAAGAUUCUACUUGGUUUUUUCAACAAAAAAAAAAACAUUCUAGUUGGUUUUAUUCUUUUAAAUAGAUAAAUUGUUUUGCAUUUAUUUUUUAUGAAAGCAUUUGGAAAGUUUUACAAAAAUUAUAUUUUUACUCCUUUCACAAAAAAAUUAUUUUUUUUUACUAUUUAUUUAGACUAAAAUACACUUUUUACCCUAAAGGUUUUUAAAACUAACGAUUUUGGUCCUCUUAUUUUGAACCUGUACCCUUUUUCAAAGCCAAUUUUGCAAAAUUGUGGUCCUCCCUAAUUUUGAAUUAAUCAGAGCAUGUUUGACACAUUUUUUCCUAAACCAAGUAUCAUCCAAGUCAUCUAUGUGAGUUUUGACACACAAAAAAAAGAGGUCUCAUGCGAUAUUUGUUGUAUAACGGGCAAAUCUACAUUGUUUAUCUUCUUCUCCAUAAAAUAGGGAUUGCUCCUUCAUCUUCCACAUCCAACUCUUUAUUGUUUCUUCUUCUUCUUCAUUCAUUCGUUCUUCCCUUUUUCAUCAAUCUCCAUUGUUUUUUUUUUUUUACUAUAAAAUAGGGAUUGGUCCUCUUAUUUCCUCUUGUUUUAUUUUUCAUAUAUAUCUCCAAAAACCGAAUCUUUUUUUUUUUUUUUGCAUAAAUAUGUCAAUAAACUCAUCCAAUUAAUUAUUUAAGUCUCUUUUGAUAUUACUGUGUGUGUAUAUAUAUAUAUUUACAGGGAUGGACAUACUCUUUAUAUUUAUACAUUCAAUUUCCAUCCAACUUUAUUUGGUGGUGUCUGGGGUUCGAACCCCAGACCUUGCAUAUACUAUGCAUUGUCCUUACCAACUGAGAUAAACUCACGGAGACUUCCAUCCAAUUGUUUGUUUCUUUAUUGUCUCUAAUUAUUCAACUUUUAUAGUUUAUACAUAUAAUAAAUUGGUUUAAUAGUAGUUUUGGCCCCCUAAGUAUUAGAAAGUUGCAAUUUUGAACCCCUAGCAAAAAUAAAAUAUAAAAUUGCCCCCUAAGUAUUGCCCCUUUUGCAGUUUUGGCCCCCCAAACCAAUGUUGACCAAGUCAGAGUUGACAUGGACAUCACGUGUGUAUUUUUUUUUAAUUAUUAAAAAAAUUAUUAUUUUUAAUUAAAAAAAUAAAAUAUUUUUUAAUUAAAAAAAAAAUACACAUGUGGCAUCCACGUGUGCAUUGACUUUUCAAAAUUGGUCUGGGGCCAAAACUGCAAAAGGGGCAAUACUUUAGGGAGCGGUUUUGUAUUUUAAUUUGUUAGGGGGCUAAAAUCGCAACUUCUUGAAACAUAGGCGCCAAAACUAAUGUUAAGCCAACAAAUCAAACUAAUUAUAAUUCGAAGUCGACUAUGCAUCCAUCAACUUCAUCUAUAUUAUUUACAAUUUGUCCUCGUGAGCUUAGCUCACUUGGUAAGAACAAUGCAUAUGCAAGGUUUGGGGUUCAAUCCUCGACCACCACAAUAAAAAAAAUCUACAAUUUUAAUUUUCUUUUUUGGUCAAGAAUUUUAAAUUUUUUUUAAUAAAACGAAUUAUCAACAUAUCCAUUUUUAUAGGGUUUUUUUUAGUCAUUCAAUUCAUAUGUUCUAUAUAUAACAAAUUAACUCACUAUCUCUAAAAAAACAAAUUAAUGAAUCAACCACUUUUGAAUCAUGCACUUUUAUACGGUGACCAAUCAUCUAUUUUUUAUGUUGAACAAUUAUAUGUACACACACUAACAUUGAGACAGACAAUGCUAGAUUAUUUUUUUUGCGCUAAUGCAUAUAAAUUAGGAAAAAUAGUUAUUAUAAAAUUUUAAUUAAAAUUAUUUUUAUUUUGAUUAAAAUAUAUGUUGACAUUUUGCGCUUUUUUAUUAUAACAAACUAUACUUAUAUUUUACAAUGACACCAACAAUAUAAGAAUUAUAAUAUAAAUUCUUAUUUUUUUUUAAUAAUACCAUAAAUAUAACAUUCUCAUAGAGGUAGAUUUAUUUAAGAGUAUAAUUAAAGGUGAAAAAACCACCGUAAAACAUUUAUUCCCUUUCCGUAGUAACUGUAUAAAUUAUUCUAUAACUCAAAUUUUAUUUAUCAUAUUUAUUUUCAUAAAAACAAUAAAAAAAAACCAACUAUACUAAUUUAAGAUUUAUAUAUAAUUAUUUAUAUUUUUCUCCAAUUUAUCUAUUUUAUUAGUUAACAUAUCUAUAUAUAUAUUAAUGUAAGACUCACUCAAAAAAAAAUUAAAGUAAGAUUAUUCAAUUUAAAGAAAUUCACUUUUAGCAUCUCUUAUUUUUUCAAAUUCACUUCAUUUCCCUUUUAUGCAUUCAAAUUCUCUUCAAUUUCGCUUUUAUAUAUUUAACAUAAAUAUAGCAACAAAUUAUAUCUGAUUUUGUUUUACAUAAAAAUCUCAAUAAACGAUGUAUAUUAAUUUGAUUUUAUCCAUUAAAUAUAUAAUUUAAUUUUUUAAUUCAUUUUUAAUAAGAAUCAAAAUUAAAUUUUACUUAAAUUUACUAAAACACACGAAAGAGAGCUUGAGAAGGAUUCAAGGAUUCAGGGACUCUCUCCUGUUAGCAAAAGGAACAAUGUCUUGGUUGCACGUUUCACUGCAUCAUAACAAUUACAGGAUGAUCUUCAAGGUCCAAUAACAGGUGUAGAUAUAGCUCAAGGUCCAAAUCAAGGAGGUAUAGACGUGGUAGUGGUUCUUCAACAACUUGAUGAUCAUAUUGAUCAUAUCCAAGGUCCAAUUCAAAAAGGUGUAGAGAUUGAUCAAGUAUCGGUGGCUCUUCAAGACUAUGCGCGUACAAGGACACUUGCUCAGAUAUUUGGUUAUAGCAAAAAUGUUGAGCAUGGAGAUUUCAUGAACUAUUCCAAGACGACAACAAUGAGUUGAUUUCGAUAUGUUUUGUUCACAAUUUUGCUGAAAAUGCAGAAUUGCUGAAGACUAUUCCAUAGAAUUUAGUUGAUUUCGAUACGUUUUGUUCACAAUUAAUCAGUAUUUUUUUUUUUUACAGGUACGUAGCCAUUAACUAAAUCAACAUUACCUAACUGUCACCCUUGUUUUCAGUAUUAUUUUUUGGCUUUCGUUGUCUUGUAUCAAAAUGUAUGGUGUUUCCUUAUUUUUAUGAAUGUCUAAAGCAAAUUACAACUUUUAAUAUAGUUCUUAAGUUACAUUUAGAAUUUCAACAAUUAAAACAAUGAAAUAUCGCCUUAACAGAACAUCUUGAUAUUGUUGUUCCUAUCUAGACGAACCUUGUUUUGCUACGCGCUUGUGCCUUUUUCCUUGAUUGAUGAUAUAAAAAUUCAACAUGUCUUGAAUUGCUAGGGGCGUUCAUUAUGCAUAAUUGUGUUAUAAAUUGCUAACACUUAUCAAAUUAUCGUGAUAUAAAAAUUCAAAAAGAAAGUAAUAGAUGUAAAAUAUUUACAAAUUACAAGUAGUAGCAUCUGAAGAGUACAACAGGGACACAACUAUUAUCUAGUGUACGUGCCUGCAUUGGCAGGCUGCCACAACAAAUGUGUCAGUAGGGUUAAACCAACAAACCUUCCUUGAAUUUGGAUUCCCAACUGGUAUGUCAAGCACAUCGGAGAAUUCCAGCAACUUCUCUUUAUUACGUUGGUCAAAAAAUAUCUUUACUUUAAUCAUUUGCUUUUCCUGCAGUAACGAUAUUUGGUUUUAGAAGCUUAAAAAGAGAAGUGGUUAAUUAUGCAUAAAAGCAAGCAACCAUUCAUUGUUAUAUAUGACUUACUUGCAAGUUACAAGCAUGCCUCAUUUUCAUGCUACAUAAAACCAGAAAACCUUUAAAUUUUACUUAGUCGCAGCUGCCUGCGAAAUACUUGGUAAAAGAUUAGCUAAAUAGAAGCAUAAUAACAUCUGUUUGACCAAUUAAUUUCAUUAUUCCAAGUAAGUGUAACGUGAAAUGAAAAAUAAGUGGUAUAAUGCAAGAGGAUUGUUCGUGAAUGUGAAGUAGGAUAUCCCUUUCCUCUCCUACCAAAGAGGAUUUUAUGGAGCAAUUUAAGAGUAUAAUCAAUCUUCUUUCCGGAUAAUUUAAGUACCACUGAAGCAUAAAAUACAAGAGUCAUAAAAAUUACUAGCUGCUACGAUGCAAAAACAUGUAUCUAAGGCAUAAAGUGCGUUAUAAACAUGAACAUGAAAAAUUAUAAGAGAAAAUUCAUAUCACACAAUUAAGGGUAACUAUGAAUCUGAGGUGAAUACCUUUUCAAUUUGAAAUUAUUAGGAUGCAUCUAUGUCAUAUGAUUUCUACCAACCUCGAAAUUGAUUUCCUUUCACGUAGAGGACAAUUGGUUGUAGGAGUUGUUGACUCUGUCUCCUUCAGUUCCUUUAUUUUCUUUUUCACCUCCUAAUGGUCAUUUCCCCUCCCGCACUUUUUUAAUCCUUUCUCAACUUCGAUAUCUUCAGAACCAUCGUCAUUUGACUUAUCGUCAACCUUAUCCUUACCAUCCAACCCCUAUUCUCGGCUUUUCUUUUCUCCUUUUCACAGUUCUUAUGUUUGACUUCAGGAAUAUCCUCUAUCCUCUAUCUCCUUUUGUUCCUUCGUUUUCCUUUUUCACCUUCCACCCUUCAACCUUUCCUUUCCUACAUUUUUCAAAUCCUUCCUCCACUUUGACAUCUUCAUUUGUCCAAUGUUGUAUGCAGAGCAGCUGUAGUUCCUUUGAAUUAUCAGUGAAAGAUUAGGGCUUACAAUGUACUUGUAUUUAAAUAUUGUGAUCCAUACUACAUUACCCCUGAAUCAUACUGCAGGGGCAGCCACAAUCCCCCACAAGAACCAUUUGGGUCAAGCCCAAGGGCAGGUCGAACAAGCAGAAAGGUCUCACCCGCUUCGCUCUUUCAACCUUGCCCACUUGCAAGAACCUAUGAGUCAUACUCAACAAAACAAGAUUAAGACCAUCCUCCAGCUAGAGUAGUGGAAUAACACAACUAUGAAAGAUACAAAACAAGAUUAUACAUACACUCCUAAAAAUAUAUUGUGACAAAUAAAAUUUGACGUUAUAGGAAAAUCAUACCUUAUUUUUUUUUGAGUUGUUAUUGAUAAAAGACACUAUAUACAUCUAUCUUUUACUUACUUUUUAUCUUAUACACCAUACAGAAAUUUGGAUAUACAUAAACAAGAAAAUAAAGAGACACUAUUUCGUGUCAGUUUUUGAUAUUCAAAUAUCAUUACUCUUUUAUUUUACAUCUAUGACAUUCUUUGACAUCCGCUUUGAUGCGUUGAGGAGGGACAUCACCACAACAUUUCCAAUCACAAAGCUUAAGUUUAAGUUUUUCUUUUUUGAUGAGAGAAGAUUAGGUAUCAUUUACUUGACCAUUUAUGUAAAAAUGGAUAUUGCAUUUGUUACUUUUCUUUCAUGACAAUAUAUGGUUUUGUAGUCAAGACUUCUUGAAGCGAUAUGAAUAUUACAUAUUUUUAGAAUAUUUUUACACAAACAACUUGUCACAUUUCAAUAAUCAAAUGGGAAACAAUGCAAUUAGAUAUAAAUCAAACACUUAAGAUUAACCAUAUUUAUAGGCCACUCCUGCUAACUCAGAGGACACAACAAAAUAGUUUGGGCAAAUUCCAAAAACAAUACCUCUCACAAUAAAAUCAAAACGUGCAACUCAAAAAAGCAUUAAAAUUAUCAAUCGCAGUCAAAGAGUGUUAAUCUGAGCUACUCUUCUCCGCAUAUACUCCAAAACCGUUUCCAAUGGCUGAAGAGAGUACGUAAUUUGGCUCUUCAAAAAUGGAGAAAUUACACUGAUCUCCCAUGAAGUCUCUUUGGAGGACACAAACAUGACUUAAAAAAAAUGUUAUUUUUCUGUUUCGGUUUCUAUUGAUGAUGAUAAUCUUCAUCCACUAAACUUAAAUUUCUGCCAUUUUUUGCAAGUUUCUCUUUAUUUCAAAUUUCAACUAUCAUAACUCGCUGCUUUCAUUGAAGAAUACCCAAAAAAAGCCAGACUAUUAACUUCUGUCUGAACAAUGUAAUUUUUUUUUUUCGCAUAGCAAUACAGCCUACAGGGUAUUUGUUAUUAUGUCUGAACAGUGUCUAACGCAAGAGUGUCUACUGUAUUUCAUAAGUUGUUGGAUUUAAUGGAUUAUGGCUAGAAAAAAAAACAAUAAUCCCUCCAUUUAUCACUUUUGAAGAAUAAUUUUGUUUCAAUUUACCUGUCACUUUUAUAUUUCAAUGCAAUAUUAAGAAGAAUAAAAUGAGAACGGAAUUUAUCCAACGAGAACCAAAGAAAAAGACUUGUGCUUUACGUCUUUUGUGUUGGAACUUGGAAUGUUGGGUGUUGAGUGUAGAGAAGGUAAAUCAGAUCAUUAGUUUUUCUUUUUAUAAAAAUAAUUUGAUAGAAAACGGUGUCAAACAUUAGAGAAAAUCACCGUAAAAUAACUUAGAGGGAUGUUCGUGUCGUUUAAAUAGACCUUCAAAAAAUAUGAGCGUAUUUUUCCCUUAAAAAAAAUUCCAAUCAUAAUGUCUUAAAACACAUCACCUUUCAUCUCUAUUUUUCAGAUCUAUUUUCACCGUUAUUUGUGAAAUAAAGUCCGCAUUAAAAACGAAUAAAAGAUAUAAAUCCAUAAAUCAAAAAUUGGCAUACCAACACUAUAAUGAUGUUUCUACCAACAAAAACACUAUAUCGUUUAUUUCUUUAAGACUAACUUUUUGGUUCGAUAAAUUGAUAAGAUAGAUAUUUAGUACUUCUCUAAAAUAAUCAAUAACCAAUGAGUUGUUUUUUUUUUCUUUCAGAGAUGAAUGAAAGGAAGAAACAAAUGACGGAAUGUAAUAAUAAAAUAAAGAAAAAUGAUAUUAGAACAAUCAUUUUCUACAACUUUUUUGACAACUUUCUCUCUCAUAUUUACAUUAUCUUUUUACUUUUUCUCUCUAUUCCUUUGAUCUUUGUGUCACUACCAUUUCCUUUAUAAAAUUUUGACUGUCAUAAAAGUUGACACAUAUAUCGAUGUUCAAAUAACACAACUUUAAACUAAACAAAAACGUACCUUUACAGCAAAAAAAACACCUUAAAAACAAUAACUAAUAAGGAAGUUAAAAUAUACUUGUAAAUUGGCCAGUUAUAUACGAACGCAUUCUUCAGCUUCGCUUCACCGGUCCAGAAAAUAAAGUAUGAGCACAGAAGCACGAAUUUGUAUCAAAAUAUAAAAGGACACACCAACGAUUGUCAACAAUUGACACACCAAAAGUUACGAUACGUAAACAAUAGCUACGCUGGUCCAGAAAAUUGCAUCUAAUAAAUUCCAAAAUUCAAAAUUAAAGAAAAAACAUGAUAAAAAUACUGUUUCUCAACCUCACGCCUUCCUAAACAAUAGCAUCUAUUUCAAAAUUAAUCGACCUCUUCCAUCUUGCUACCCUCUGCAUCAGCAUCAGCUUCCUCCAAUGGUGGCAUGUCAGCAUCAGCUUCUGCUGCAUCCUCAUCAAUGCUAAGUCCAAGCUUGAGCAUCCUGUGAAUCCUGUUGCCAAAGGUGUUGGGCUCAUCAAGGCUGAAUCCAGAGGUAAGAAGAGCAGUCUCAAACAGCAAGAGGACAAGAUCCUUCACAGAUUUGUCAUUCCUAUCAGCAUCAGCACGUUUCCUCAGCUCCUCCAUAAUGGGAUUCUCAGGGUUGAUUUCCAUUGUCUUCUUGCUUGACAUGUAACCAGCCAUGCUGCUAUCCCUCAAAGCCUGUGCCUUCAUGAUCCUCUCCAUGUUGGCAGUCCAACCAUACUCACCAGUCACUAGACAGCAAGGAGAGUCCACAACUCGGUCAGAAACAACCACUUUCUCAACCUUGUCGCCCAACACUUCCUUGAUCACCUUGCAGAGGUUGUCAAAUUUCUCCUUCUGUUCAUCCAUCUUUUUCUUUUCAUCCUCGCUCUCAUCAAGUUUCAAACCUUCCUUAGUUGCAGAUACCAGCUUCUUUCCCUCAAAUUCCUUGAGCUGGCCAACAGCAUAUUCAUCUAUAGCGUCAACCAUGUAAAUCACUUCAUAUCCCUUCUUCCUAAGUUUCUCAAGGAAGGGGGAAUUCUCAACAGCUUUCUUGCUUUCACCGGUGAUGUAGUAAAUGUCAUUCUGUCCUUCCUUCAUCCUGGUAACGUAGUCCUUGAGGCUGGUCAUGUCAUCACCACUCUUGGUGGAGUGGUACCUGAGCAAAUCAGCAAGCUUUGUCUUGUUUUGAGAAUCCUCAUGGAUACCCAGCUUCAAGUUCUUAGAGAAGGCCUCAUAGAACUUGUUGUAGUCUUCCUUGUUCUCAGCAAUUUCAAAGAAAAGCUCAAGGCACUUCUUCACCAAGUUCUUCCUUAUGACCUUGAGAAUCUUGUUCUGUUGAAGCAUCUCUCUUGAAAUGUUAAGUGGGAGAUCUUCAGAGUCCACAAUACCCUUCACAAAGCUAAGAUACUCAGGCAUCAACUCCUCACAGUUGUCCAUGAUGAAAACACGGCGGACAUACAGCUUGAUGUUGUUGGGCUUCUUCUUUGUGUCAAAGAGAUCAAAAGGUGCUCUCUUGGGUACAAAGAGAACAGCCUUAAACUCCAACUGACCCUCAACUGAGAAGUGCUUAACAGCCAAAUGCUCUUCCCAAUCAUUGGUGAGACUCUUGUAAAAAGCAGCAUACUCAUCCUUUGUAAUCUCCUCGGGCUUCCUCAUCCAAAUAGGUUUUUGCUUGUUCACCAAAGACCAUUCAUUAGACACCUCCUUAAUCUUUUUCUUUUUCUUCUCUUCCUUUUCUUUCUCCUCAUCUACUUCCUCAACCUUACCCUCCUCUUCCUUCUUCUCUUCCUCAUCCUCAUCAUCAGAAAUCUCUUUCUCAAUAGUCUUCUCAACCCAAAGAGAAAUUGGAUAGCUGAUAAAUUCAGAAUGUUUCUUAACCAAGUCCUUCAGACGGCGUUCCUCAAGAUACUCAAGUUGAUCCUCCUUGAGGAUGAGAGUUAUCUUAGUUCCCCUGCCAAGAGCUUCGCCAGUUGUGUCCCUAGUCACAGUGAAUGACCCUCCAGCUUGAGACUCCCACACAUACUGUUCAUCAUCGUUGUGCUUUGUGGUAACAAUAACCUUCUCGGCAACAAGGUAGGCAGAGUAGAAACCAACACCAAACUGUCCAAUCAUGCUCACAUCAGCACCAGCAGCUAUGGCUUCCAUGAAUUCCUUGGUACCAGACCUAGCAAUGGUACCUAGGUUGUUCACCAAAUCUGGAACAAAAAUACAUAGAAAUAUUAGUAAACAACAUAAAAUAUCACACGACACAGUGCUGCUACAUAAACCAAUUUCAGGCUAAGAAAAGGGAGAAAAAAAAAGCAUAUUAACUUACCAGCUUUGGUCAUUCCAAUCCCACUAUCAAUGAUAGUCAAAGUGUUGUUGGUCUUGUCAGGAAUAAUGUGAAUGAACAACUCUGGCUGAGAAUCAAGCUUGCUCUUGUCGGUCAAGCCCUCGAACCGAAUCUUAUCCAAAGCCUACAUCACAACAUUCCAUCACAAGAAUCAGAACAGCAUUCAUACCCACAACAACAAAAUCAUCUAUCACAUCAAACAUUCAUAAAACCCAACCCAAAGAUCCAAAGUAAUAGUAACAAUUAUACUUCCAAAAACAUGGAGUUCUAGUCACAAACAACUUCCAUUCAAAAAGGAAAGAGUUGAUUGUAACAAUAACAUCGCAUAUAUGUGAUUAACAUAGAUUAUUUGUCACAUACAACUUUCAUUCAUAUAAUUAAAGGACCAAUUCAACUUUCCUUCAAAAAUUAAAGUGCCGAUUAUAUCAAUAACCUUCAUAGUAUAUGAUUUAAGUGAAAACGUUAAACAGCAAAAAAUAGAUCACAUAAUCAGUAUUGAUAUCAAUACAAGCCGGACUAAUUAAAAUUCAAUUUAAAUUUAGGUAUUUCAUGUAUGACUCUAAUAUGAAUCAACAAUGAAAAACAUAUUCGGUUCAAAAUCAAGAAAACGUUAAUUAACCGAAUAGAACAUUGAUUUAAAUUUGAUUUUAAAUUGUGAUUAAUGAAACCUAAACAUGACUAACAAAUCAUCACUGUGUUCAAACAACAACAACGGAAAAAUCACAAAGAUGCUAAACAACGCCACCAACUAAAACCCUAAAAGUAUGUAAUCAAUUAACAUAAACCCUAAAAUUGAAAAAAUAAUCCAAUAAAAACGAUAACAAAAGAAAUCAUCAAAAUCAUCAUAAUAAAAUAGAACCUAAACUAGAUCGAACCCUAAUAAACAAAAAAAAAAAGAGCGAAGAGGAAGAAGCUUACAUCGGAAGCAUUACUGAUGAGUUCACGAAGAAAAAUCUCCUUGUUACUGUAAAAGGUGUUGAUGAUUAGACUGAGAAGUUGAUUGAUCUCAGCCUGGAAAGCAAACGUCUCUUGUUCCGCCAUUGCCGAUCUGGAAAUUUUCGUAGAGAGAGAAAGUGUUUUGUUUUGUUGUAUUGUAGGGAGAGAAAAUAAGAGAGAGUUGCAAAGUGUGAGGAGAAUGAGAUAUUAUAUAGUGAGUGUUAGCUAGGGUUUUCUCGAUCCUUCUUUUUUUUUUUUUUUUUUUUUGGUAUAGUUUUUCUAGAUCCUUCUAUUUCUAUAUUUAUGAACUAAAUAAUUUUAUUUGGGUCCACUUUACUCUCAAAACUAACCACUUGGAUGGGAAGCGUGGACUUGGUUUACUUCUUCUCCUUUUUUUAUUUAUCUACAGCAAUAAUAUUUUUUUUAUGAUAGUUGGGUUUGAACUAAGACUUUGUAUAUAUUAUGUAUUAUUCUUAUCAAUUGAGUUAAGUUUACGAUAACUUAUAACAAUAAUAUUUGAUACUCACGUGAUAGGUUUUAUCAAACAUUUAGUUAGUUGAUUUUAAUUUUUAGCAAAAUAUUAACGGAUGUCUUUAGGCUUUGGGUAUUUAAGGAAGCUAAUAUAAUAAAAAAAUAGAAUUUGUGUAGUCAAAUUUUUUAAAGUGUAAAGAAUAUUUUUUACAAUGCAAUUUUUUUACUUUUGUUUUUCAUAAUCGAUGCCUCAGACACUAAUUAACUUGAUCCUUUUUUAAAGAUAAAUUACUAUGAUUUUUAUUUUAUUUUAUGAAAGUAUAAUUUUUACUAAAAUAUAGUUUAUAAGAAAUUAUUUUUUUAUUAUUUUUUUUAAAAGCAAAGAAACACCAUACACCGACGACUUAUGCGAUAAUCCCGUGAUCAUACUUCAAAUGGUAGAAUAUUUAAAGUUUGUUGGUAAGAGGUGGGAACUGAAAAUAGGCUAGGUCAUUCGUCACGAACUAUGGACCGGUCCAACUUUUUUAAAAUCCGGUCAAACAUAACUCGUUUAAUAACUAGGUCAAGUUUAGACUUUUUAAAAAGUCUGUUAAUUUAAAUAAUUCAGGUUAAGGUUUAUAAAAACUAUUAGAUCUAUCAGACCGACUCGUAUAUGAGUAUAUUACAUUUUUGUUAUUAUUGUUGACUUUGUUUACUUUUUAAAAGCUUAUUAAGUUAUCAUUUAAGAAUCAUAUGACUCUUUGAUUCUAUCACGUGUAAAUUUAAAUCAACACGUGUAUUGAGUUUUAUUCUAUCACGUCUAUACUAAAAAGGAUAGCACAUCCUUCUCCUUUCAAAAAAGUUUAGGAAUGUGGGAAGUUAAGACGAUUUGAAAUGCACUAAAAAUUACAAAUUGGUAGUUUUGUGUAUUAAUAGAAUGAGUAGUGUUAACUCGUAUCUUCAAGGCACAUGUUAAGAAACCUAAAAGAAAAAAUAUUCUCUAAAUUUUAUGCAUUUAAUUAAUUAAAAAGUUAAAGAUUAAUUACAAUGCACACAAUAAUUAUUUAUAUAUUUGAAUCAUUAACUUGUAUUUUGAUGGCACAAGUUAAGCAUUACACUAAUGCGGUGGUUGAGACUCUAUAAAUUGAAAACGUAACUCCAUUAUCCUAUUCACACUUUGCAAAACAACAAAAAAAUCAAUAUGAAAAUGAGUAAACUUUGUUAUGUCUACGGACAAACUUUGUAAUAUAUGUUAGAGUAAAAUGAGGUGGAAAAGAUGAUUAUACCCUUUUGGCCUAAAAAAACUUCCAGCACCUACUUGCUACCGACCGUAACCUCCCACGUUAUGUUUUCCAUUUAUUUCCUUUUGAUUUCCCAUUCUUCAAUUCUAAUCACACCACCACCUUAAAAAAAAUGGUGUAAAUAUUAACCGAAUUUUCCAAAAAUGGAGGGGUGGUUUUCAACGUCAAGUUCAGCUAAUGACGAUCAGCAACAGAAAGCAGGAGGUUCGUCUUCAUCUUCUUUGCUUGCUGAUUGGAAUUCAUACGCUUCUUCUCAACAGGAUCAGGAUCCUUCUAAUUCCGCCAUCAGCUUCGAUCUUGAAUCUGCUGUUAGAUCUGCCAAUAACACCGUCACCGGCACUUUCAGCGUGUAACCUCUUCAACUCAAUUGCAUUCUAUAUUCUCUUGAAUUGGUAUUUUUUUUUUUUGUAUAUCACGAUAACAGUAUACAGUGUUGGGAGGAAUUAGUGUUUUAAGCGUGUUCCAAUUUGUCAAGUUAGUCCAUGUAUUUAACCGCUUACUAUCAAUAGGUUCUUUUAGUUUAAUCACUUACUAUCAAUUUGAUAUAUAUUUAACCACUUACUACUAUCAAUUUGGUCCCUGACGUUAGAAUCGAAUUUGGUCUCUGACUUUUAGAAGGACUGAUAUGAGUCAGAGUCAGGGAUGUUUUUGAAAUAUUCAUAAUAUCAAGGAUCUAUUUGAGACCGGGAUGUAGAAUCAGGGACCAAUUUGGUGGUUUACUCUUGUGAUCUGAUUCCAAAUUAAGCUCACGUUUCCAUUAUAUUUAGGUAUUUCAUUGAUAAGAUCACAAAAGCAAUAUGGACUAGCAAAAUGCUGUGGAAGUUUGGUUUUUAAGACAAUUGAAUGAAAUGAGAAUGGGAGAUUGUAAAUGAGUCAGGGGCUGUUUGGAUUGACUAAUUUGAACUUAUUUACUAGCAUAUGCAUUUGUGAGACAAUUUGGGAGAGCUUAUGGAAAUAGCUUACAACAUCUGACAUGUCCAUAAACUAUUUUCAGCUUAUUUCCUUGAGCUCUCUAGGAUAACUUGUGCAAACAACUUAUAGCUUAUAUGAAAACCAUUUGACUUUGUUUUAUCUUUUGUUAUAAAAAUAGCUGACACAUUAUUACUUAUGUGAUAAGCGCUUAAUUAACCAGUUUAUCGAACACGGCCUUAAUACUUCUAUGGACCCUAAUGUUAAGCUUUGGUUAGAUCAGGGAGAGUCAUUUCAGACAGGUAUAGGAAGGUGGUUGGGAAUGGGAGCUUUAACUAUAUUACGAUGAUUAGGCUUCACAUAUCUCUUGUUGUAAGUGUUGUUUACCAGUUUCUUAAUUCUCCUUGAGAUAGUCAUUCAUAGUUGUCAAACAAAGAAGCCCGUUAGCUGCUAUUUCUUUGUUAUGUUUCAUUUUUUAGUCGUGGCAAUCAUGACCACUAUUCGUGGCAGAAAUCAUACACUUCUCUUCUCUAUUGUGACUAUUAGGUCUCCAGAAACAUUUUUUUGCCCCUGUCAUAUGCUUGUUGCGGAUUGAUUUUGGGAGAAAGUUGGGAUUUUGUUCCUCUCUUUUUCAGAUAAAAGAAUUCAAUCCUUUAUUUCUCCCCACAUGUUGAUCAAACAACCUUAACAUUAAAACUUGAGAGCUUCCUUCUUGCCAAGCUCACUAUGGUCAAGUCUGGCAGUUUUGGGCCUCAUUUUGGUGACUGUUCUUUACAUGCUCUUUUUUCAUUUAUGAUAAUCUGCCCUGUUUUCCCUUUCGGCUCUUUUGAGUCUACAAGCUCGGUUAUUUGCAUUUAAGUUUUUUUUAAUUUCUGAUCUUUUUUUUGUUUUCUGGUUUUCCCAAAUUAGUCUCAAUUAUUUUUUGGGUGUUUGUAGUUCAAACUCAUUAUUAUUGGUCUUGCAUGCGCUAUUUUUGAGUUUAUCACUUUGCAGUAUUUAUUUCCUUGAUUAUUGUAAUGUUUAGCUUAAGGCCGAUGAUUUUGUAUUAUUAGUUAUGAUAUGCCUUGAAUCUUAGCGUGUGUAGUAUAAUUUACUUAACUUUUAUCUGAAAUUUUGGUAUAGCGGCCAUCCUGCUGCAGCGUGUUUGGCGCCAGCCUCUACUUGCUACUACCUGGGACUUAUAACUAUGUAGUCAGUGUAAUGUAGCAAUUCAAAGAGGCUAAAGGCUCUCCUGGAAAAGGAUUGAUCCUUGACAAUAGAGGCUAUACCGAUUUUUUUACCCACAUGGAUGCAGAUUGGGCUGACAUCUCAAGUCAUGUAUAGGCCAUUAACUUUAGGUUACUGUGUUUUUAUUGGAGGUAAUCAUAUUGGUUGGAAGAACAAGCAGAAUAUAUAUUGUUGAUAGAUUUAGUGUGCAGAAUACUUAAGUUUUUCUUAUGGCUAAAACAAUUUAUUUUUGAACUAAAAUUCUGUUAGUAAGGACUAUGAGUCUUAUCUGUGAUAAUCAAGCUUCCUUAUAGGCUUAUACAUUGCCUCUAAUCCAGUUUUUCAUUAGCAAACAAAGCAUAUUGAGAUAAACUGUCAGUUUAUCAAUUAAUCCCAAUGAUCAACUGGCAGAUAUGUUUACUAAGUUACUCUGGAGUUCAAGGACAACAUACAUAUGUCAUAUAUGCACUAGCAUGAAGAGAACUUUGGAGAUUCACCAUGCUUCCAUUUCUCAUGCUUAGUUUUCAGUUGUAUUUAACACACAACUAGUUAGUGAUAAGUUUCAAGGAAAAUUGAAACUAUUUGUUUGUUCCCUUGGAAAUGCUUUAACUUAUUUAUUCCUUCUGUAAAACGCAGAAUCCAAUUUUCUUACUGCAAGUGUUGUUAGCCAUUUAUUUAAAAUUAUUCUUGAGAUAGUCAUUCAUUGCUGUAAAUCAGUAGGGCAACAUAGCGGUGUGAUAAUAGAGGAGUGAAGCAAAGAAGCCUGUUAGCUGCGUUGUAUUUUUAAGUUGUGGCAAUCAUGACCACUAUUCAUGGCAGAAACCAUGCACUUCGCUGUUAAGACUUUUAGGUUUUCAGAAACCUUCUUUUGCCCCUGUCAUAUGCUUGUUUCUGACAUAUUUAGGGAGAAAGAUGGGAUUUUGUCCCUCCUUUAUUCAGCUAAAAGAAUGAAAUAAAUCCUUUAUUUUUCGGUACAUGUUCGAUCGAAGAGCCUUCAUGUUUAAACUUUAGACCUUCCUUCUUGCCAAGCCCACUACUCCCUGGUGUCAUUGUGGUCAAGUGUGUCAGUUCCAGGCGUCAUUUUGUCGACUUGUCUUCACAUUAUUGCAGUUGUUGCAUGUUCUAUUUUUUGGUUUAUUACUUGGCAGUAUUUGUUUCCUUGAUUAUUGUAAAUGUUUAGCUUAUGAACAAUGAUUUUUUAUUAUUAGUUAUGAUAUGCCUUGAAUUUUGAGCAUUAUGUGUAUAGUAUAAAUCACUCAACCUAUAUCUAUAAUUUCUGUAUAGAGUCCAUCCUGCUGUGGUUUUCGGCUCAGUCAUUGUAGUGUAGUAGUUCAAAUAUUGAGUUACACUAAAGGCUCUCCUAGAAGAGGAUUGAUCCAUGCAAUAAAAGUCAUACUGAUUUUGUUGCUUAAAUGGAUACUAAGUGGGCUGGAAGCUCUAGUGGUAUCCAGACGGUCAACUUUAGGUUAUUAAGAAGCAAAAUAUUGUUGAAAGAUCUAGUGGAUAGACAACAAUAUACCAAGUUAUGACUCUUAUCACACGUUUACCCAUUACCCAUAUGGCUAAACCAAUUUGUUUCUGAACUAAGAUAUUUUGAGUGAGGACUGAGGAGUAUGAGUCUUAUUUGGUAUAAUCAAGCUUCGUUAUACAUUGCCUCUGAUCCAGUUUUUUUUUGUAGCAAAUAAAGCAUAUAUUGAGAGGUUGUCAUUUUAUCCAAAAAAGGUUUUAUCUAGAAAGACGACGAUAUCAUUUAAUCCCAAUGAUCAAUUGGUGUAUAUGUUCACUUAGUCACUCUGGAUGGACUCCAAGUUUAGCAUACAUGUCACAAGCUUGAUGCAUAUGUCAUACAUGCAUUGGCAUGAAGAGAAUUGUUGAGAUUCACCAUUCUUCCAAUUUCCUAUGCUUAGUUUUCAGCUGUAUUUAACAGUCAGUUAUUGAUAAGUUUCAAGUAACACUGAAACCAUUUUUUCUCUUGGAAAUGCUUUAGCUUAUCUAUUAUUCCUGUAAAUUGUAGAAUGCAAUUUUCUUCAAGCAACACUGAAAUCGUUUGUUUUUCCUGAAAUUAUGAUUUCGAGUAAUUAAACGGUUUUCUUUUAAUAAUUGUUAGUGUUUCUAAAAGUGUGAGAGAUAUACCUGGAAACUUCCAGUCUGCGACUAGCAGUGUUCCCUCUGGGAAAGCACUCCUGUAUUUUGGUUUGUUUCUGGCGAGCGGAGUCUUCUUCAUUUUCAUUGCAUUUACCUUGUUCCUGCCUGUGAUGGUGGUUAUGCCCCAAAAGUUUGCUCUAUGCUUUACUCUUGGGUGUGGAUUUAUUAUUGGAUCAUUUUUUGCUCUAAAAGGGCCAAAGAAUCAACUUUCUCACAUGUUUUCAAAGGAGGUAAGUUACCAAAAUUUCAUGUCUUGUUGUUUUCAAGUUUAAAAAAUAGCUUCACAUUUCAUUACGUAUACAUGUUGCUUCAGUGUGUUCAUUUGAUUUUUUAGUAUAAUAGUCCCUAUGAUUUGAUUGCAUGUUUUUUAUGCCUUCUCCUGACUCUGACCUCCUUUAUGAAUAUUUUUCAGAGGCUCCCAUUCACACUGGGGUUUAUACUCAGUAUGUUUGGUACCAUUUACGUAUCAAUGGUGCGUCAUAGCUACAUUCUAUCUGUUGUAUUCUCCGUUGUACAGGUAUCACUUUCAUGGAUCCUUAAUAAGUUAGAAUGUUUCUGUGUUGCUUCGUCUUUCCCUUCCCUUCCUAUUAGCAUUUGCUGUGGAUUUGAAUUAUAGUGGCUGUAUAGUAAAAUCUUGAAUUUAAAUAUAAAUCAAUCCUUUUAUAUGGCAUAAACUUGAUAAAUUUGAGACUUCCUAUUUCCACACUUGUAGUGGCUGGAUUUAUAUGAUGAUAGGUGUUGGUUCCAUUUCCAUGACAGGCGUUACAUGAUUUCAGCAACUAUAGUGUGGAAAUAGAUCUUCCUUUAGAUACUUUUGCAUAUACUACUUAUUAUGUUUCUUUUGGCUUGAAAAAAAACUAUUUAUUCUGUUUCUAUCCAAAGCUAUCAAUCUUGUAUUGAAAAUGAUGUUUAGAUUAUACUUGCAGGUUCUCUCACUCGGAUACUAUGCUAUAUCAUAUUUUCCUGGUGGAUCUGCUGGAAUGAGAUUUCUGACUUCUGCUUUAAUGUCCAGAAUAAUGACUUGUUUUGGGAGGUGAUUUGGUUUUGGUUAUUAUUGUUAUACAUUUUAUGGGGGGAGGGGUAAACUUUGUCUAUAGAUAGGUGAAACUUUGAACUGACCCAGAACAGGAUAAUGCUGAGUUGAAACAUCAUCUAACAUGUCCUGAGAUUUCAAUGUUUGUUGCCACCUCUUAAUGAGAAAAUUGGUUGAUCUCUUUGCCAUAAGUUGUAAUCUUUAUUGCAUGCGUAUGGGUAUGAAUAUCACUGUUUCACAAUAUUUUGUACCAAAUAGAGUAUCAUUGGACAAGAGUGAAUUGUUCAAAUUCCACUAUGCGAUAGCGUAGUAGCACCCCAAAGUCACUAUUUAACAACAUUGAUUCUAAUUAAUGAGAUUAAUUUCGUACUUGUUCAUAAAAGUAUUUGGAAGGCUUAUUAAAAUAAUCCCAAAACAGUUUAUUGAAAUAUCAUGCAAUAUAAAAUACUUAUGUACCAGAUAAGUUCAAUAAGUUCUAAAUAAUCCUUGAUGAUAUUUUCGUAAAACCAUCCGGCCCUUUCUCCACCAUCUGAACUUUAAGCCGAGACACUUCCUUCAACAAACCACCUCUAACAUGAGCAGAUAUCAACGAAUCGUAAGUAAUAACAUUUGGAGAAAAGCCAUUACUUUCCAUAUCUUUAAGAACCUGCAAAGCCUCUUUGGGACGUCUAACCUUCGCAAAAACAUCUAACAACGCAUUAUAAGUAACUCUAUCAGGAACAAAACCCGCAGACUUAAUCCGGUCAAACACAUUUACAGCUUCCUCAUAUAACGAACCUUGACGACAACAAGUGAUAAGUGUAUUAUAAAUAUACAAAUCCGGAACAACUCCAUUUGUUUUCAUAGAAUAAAAAAUGGCAGUAACACGAGACCAAGGCAUACCCAUUUUGCCAUAAACAUUCAAAAUGGAAUUGUAAGUAACAAGAGUAGGGGUAUAACCAUCACGUUGCAUUUUGUUGAACACAGAAACAACAUCAUUAUAACGACCUUUACUAGCAUAAGAUUAAUGGAUUGUUAUCCCAAUAAAACAUUUAAUUUAAGGAUGACUCGGAAGUAAUCAACAUUUGUACUAGUGUACUGUACAAGAGUAGUUGCAGAAAGAUAGACAAUAAUAAACACUUCAUUUGUAAUUAUAUCAAACAAGGAACUUUAGAUAAGAUGGCUCCAAAAUUAACGAUAGAACCCAUCUGCAUCAUCCAUUAUCAUAUAAGCUGCACAGAAUUGCGUAUACAACAAAAUUCAGACAUAUUAUGCAGAUCAUACAAUUGAAAUGCAGAAUAGCAGAGUUUGUAGUUCAUGGCCAAACAGGUUAAUUAUCCAGUGUUUGUAGAACAAGUCCAAAUAAGGUUAAAAAUAAAGGGUGGUGGAUAUCACACACAAAAUGUUUUUGGAAAAGUUGUGCCACAAUAAAGGAAUAUUUAAAAAUCUGUAUACAAAUUUGAAACAAAACCUAUUUCUCUUAGGUUUUAUUGUAUGAUUACAAAUUCCUAUAAAAUUUUAAAAAUAAUAAUAAUAAUUCCCCACAGACCAAAAAUAGAUUUAGAUUAUUCUUAAGCCCCUUCAGAUUUCAGAGAUUUAUAGAUUGAUUCCUAAAAUUUCAAUUUAGGUGUAAAACCCAACAACUAUAGUAAGACUGUGAAAUGGAUAAUGUAAUUUUUCAUCGAAAAUAAUGCAUUAAAUCAUAAGGGUGGCGAACUUCUUAAUAAAGGAAUAUUUCACACCAUUUCCUUUUUUUAUAGAGUAUUAAAAUAUGUUAAGGGUGGCGAAAGUAACACAUUAAUUAGUAAAAAUGAACAUUGAGGAGAAAAGUAGGAAAAAUAAUUUUUUAUUAAAUAUUUGUGUUUUUUUAUCCUUGUGAUACUCAGUGCUUCACCAUAUAUAUAUAUAUAUAUAUAUUUGAACUGAUGAGUGGGCCUUGGCAGUGAAACUUUGCAUUUUAUGGCACAUAGAAUUAACCAAGAACAGAAGUUAUAAAGAAAUCGUCACAUUGUGAAGGGGCGAGCAUGAACUUAGAGGGUAUAGUGCCGUCAACAUCUUUUACUUACAACCUAGUUCCGUCCCUGGUGAUUAGAUUUACCGAAGCUAUGUGAUUUAUAUGGAAAACAUACGAUAUGCACUGCCUACUCAAAAGAACGUUAAUAAUAAUAUUGUAUUAUAAACCACGACGUAAGUUUAUCAAUAUAUUAAGUAAGAAGCAAUCUGCUGGGAAGAAAAAAAAAAAAUGUUACCUCUAUGGAUUUUGCAUUCUUAAUUGUGUGAAAUAUGGCCUCCUUUGACUUUUUCAACACUCCUAUAAUGUGGAGUUCAAAGAAAACAUUAUAAUACAACCCAGGUAAAAGAAAGUUUACCAUCACUAAUCAUCCAAAGCUUUCAUACCAUUCAUGUCAUAGAGGCAUACAUUUUUUAUACCAAGUGAGUCCAGCUACUGCAGAAGUUGAACAACUUUUGAAGUCUGAUGAGCAUCUUCACUCUCUAUGACAAUGGCAAGGUACUGAAGCUUUGCAUAGGAAGAGACUUGUAUCUCUUAAAUACUCCAUAAGAGAUGAAAUAGCCUUCAAACAAAUUAGCCAUGACUAAUACAUGGAUACUCCCAGUUGUUAACCACGUUAAAAAAUGUGGUUAAUUCUGUAGAAUAAAUGAUUAAAUCAAUUUACGACUAAAAUUAUGGUCAAUUCAGUUUAUCCAAUUUAGUGAAAACUCAUUUCAGUACAAUCAAAUCCAAGUAUCACAUUGUGGAAUCAAACAAAGUAGAAACCAAAACGAAAAAUCAUUCAGAAAUACUGUUAUGUAUGAAAUACACAUGAAUGUCUUGCCUCUAAAAAAAUGUUGGGCUAGAAACUAAAUAAACUGCUCACUAUUUGAGUACAACUCUUCUGGACCUUUUCUGUGUUUAAUCAGGAUUCGAUAGAUCAUAUCUAACCUUACAAUUCAUACCAAAAGAUUCAAAUUAUAUGAAUGGUAAGAUGUGACAUUAGAUUCUACAAUAAAAUUUGAGGAUGACUCUUUCCAUCUAUGCAAUAUGCCCAGCUAAGGUAAGGAUCUUGACAUGCUUCUUCUGCCUCAACUCAUGAGGAACUGGUCCGAAAACUCUGGUCCCAAUAGGCUGCCCUUGUUUGUCAACAAGCACGACAGCAUUGUCGUCAAACUUGACCUCACUGCCAUCACACCUCCCCUUUGGCAUUGCUGCGCGAACAACUACGGCAAAUACAACUGCUCCCUUCUUCACUUUUCCAUUAGGAUGUGCUUCCUUCACUGAUGCUUGUAUCAUAUCACCUAAUCUUGCUCCUUUCUUCCCUGCCAACGCGCGUAUGCACAUCACCUUUUUAGCCCCAGAAUUGUCCACAACCUUCAGAACAGUCCUCAUCUGUAUGAAGGUUCGUUGUUGCUGCAAAAAGGAAGACAUUGUUUUCUUCAGGAAGGAAUCAUAACAGUGUGUGUAAGAACUAAGCAUGGAUUUGUGACUCAUUUUAAGAAGACAUGUAUCUUUGCAUUGCAUGGAAAAAUUACUGUUGUUUUCUACAAUCUAGGUUUAAGAUUACCAAUACUGUGUUUGGCAAGCAUAAGAAAAUAAUGUUAAGGAAAUUAUAAUAAUUGAAACAUGAUCCUGCAACUGAUUCCUACAUGUACCUGAGAAAAAUAACUGUUGCAUGUCAUCUCAUGUGACGUGGUAAAUAGACCAGGGGAACUGUUGCUUAAUCCACCGAACAGAGAACGGCCCACUAGUUUGGUUUUUCAACACAUGAAACAAAAAACUAACAAGUUAAUAAAAAUAUUUAUUAAGUGGAUAAAGCAUCACCUUAUCAACAUAAAAAUUCUUGAGCUCGCGUUUGACUUGUAAAUAGGGGGAGGGAAGGAUUAGUGGCACAAGUGCAAACUGCCAAGAUAGAGUUAUGCAGCUUAAUAUAUGAAAUUUCAGAGUGGUUGCAAAAUGUAGUGGUUUCAAUUUAUUGCAAAAGCAACAGUUUGCAAAUGGUCCAUGUUUUAGGGAGCAAAAUGACCAUAUAAUAAUGAAACUACAACAUGGUUGUAGUAAACUAACAAAUUGGACAUCACCACCAAAAGGAUAGAAUCAAUGAUUUGCAAGACAUAGAAAACAGUUAUUCUCUUACAAUUAAUAUUUGACUUUGGGGAAGCUCGCAUUUUAACUUCUGAUGAAAAGGCAUUUUUUUUAAUGGUCUUGGAAAGCUGGAUUGAUUCAUAUCUAUUAUCUAUUUCCGGAAGAAGCCAAGCUACAAACCAGCUCCAUAUAAAGACAGUGCUGUAGAGAGUUGAGGCAUCUCCAAAAUAUAAGCAAAAGGUGCUGAAUCGCGUAAAUUAUGCGUCUUUUGUUAUUUUCUUUGCACUAUGUUUGUGUGUGUUCCAAUUAUUGAUCCUUUGUUAGUGUGAUUUUUCUCAACACACACAAACCCAAGAACACAGAAAUAUUGUAUAAUUGUAUAAAGUUCUGAACAAAAUAUAGAAGCUUGUGAGUAUCAUCAUUCUUGGAAUUUUCCCAAAAUUUGUUACUUCUUGGAAAGGGUAUGUGAGUGUGCACUUAUGAAAAAGCAACAUUUUGUGGGGUUAUUGGACUUGUUCUAGAUAAUAGGUAUCUUGAUAUUGUAUCUGAUUGCUAGUGAAAGUUUAUAAAAGUGGAAUAUAGGCCUUGACACUUGACUUUCAUGGUCCCUAAGUUUUCUCCGUAAGCUCAAAUCACACAAUGUAUACAAUUAUCCAAGAGAUAUACUUCAAAGAGAACAGGGCUGGCAGACAUGGAGUACAUUGUAAGAAAAAGAAACGGGAAUGUAGAAUACAAUUGCACAUAAUGCAUAACAAUAUCAAGGUAGCUCAGUUCAGUCUCCUCGACAAAGCUAAUGGUAGUAAAAUGAAGGAGCAACCCGGCUGCUAACCUAGAAGAAAUUUAACUUAUGGACGGCAACAUCUGGUCGUGUUCCCGCCCCAAUUUCAGUGAAAACAAAACUUAAAAGAAUACUUGGAGAUGCCAGAAAUAGGCACUUUUGCAUAGGUAGUAACUAAGAAAAUUCAAUGCUAAACAGUCACCUAAAAGGAGAUAAACUGCAUUAUCUAUGAUACAUGGGUACUUCUAUAAGGUUACAGCCUACAGCACCUUUACAAGUUCCCAUUGUGUACACAUGGGGAUGCAGUAGACGUACUACGGUAAUUUUUCUAAAAUUUUUGCUACAGAAUACAUUGCAAUGCAGUGUAGUUUCCAAAGCAAUGAAUCAAUAUUGCUCAAGUACAAGCCAGUGAAUGCAAAUCUAAAUAUUUUGGUACUAUAAGAAACAUACUAGUUAUUUAUUUUGAACAUGAAAGGCAAACAUCAGAUUCUUAAAGAAAAACAAGACUGAAUUCAAUGGCCUACAGUCAGAUCCUGUGUCCUACGCCUCUUAUGCCUCCUAGCAUAUAGUCUAAUAAUAUUGGACCUUGGGCGAUCACCAAAUUCACUAGUAAUAAUGUGAUACUGGCAUCAAGUGCAACCCAAAUUGUGGUUGUAUCGUAGUUUCAACUUUUCAGAAUCCCUGUAAGAUUUGGAACUCAAGACACAGAGAUCACCAGAAAUAUCAAUACUGAAAUAAAAUUUCUCCAAUUUUCAACAUGCAAAAGAAAACUCUACAAAUAACUUCCAGACAAUAAGUGAAAACUCACAGCACAUUAAAAAAAUCUUACUGAUACGUUAAAUCAGUGCAGUCAGACAUCAAUCUAAUAAAUAUGUGGUGAAAGUCAUAUCAAGAGCUUGAAAGUGGUAAAUUUAGCUAGUCUCUUAGGAAAAACAUAAUUGUAACAAAAUGGGCUUUAAAGUUCCAUUGAACUACAAAAACUAAUGUAACAUCAGAUUUUGAUCAAAUAAAUCUCUUUUCUUUUUUUAUUGAUAAAUAAUUUCAGUUGUAAAAAUGGAACACAAGAAGCAAACAUAAAACAACAUACCACGAGAACAUCUGGAAGCAAAGGUUGCAGCCAUCUUCAAAAGUUGCAAUCUUUUAUAUUCCCUAAAAAAAAUGAAGAGCCAAAGGACAUGAGAUUUUAAUAGGCACAAAUGAAGAAUACCAAAAAGGGAAAUGCUUCUUCAAAAUGCAAAUAGUUUGAGAGAAUUUCCAAAAUAUAUGUUUGCAAAAUUAAUAUAUUUAUAACAGUGGAAAGUAAUAAUGUGAUACUGGCAUCAAGUGCAACCCAAAUUGUGGUUGCAUUGUAGUUUCAACUUUUCAGAAUCCCUAUAAGAUUUGGAACUCAAGCCACAGAGAUCACCAGAAAUAUCAAUACUGAAAUAAAAUUUCUCCAAUUUUCAACAUGCAAAAGAAAACUCUACAAAUAACUUCCCGACAAUAAGUGAAAACUCACAGCACAUUAAAAAAAAUCUUACUGAUACGUUAAAUCAGUGCAGUCAGACAUCAAUCUAAUAAAUAUGUGGUGAAAGUCAUAUCAAGAGCUUGAAAGUGGUAAAUUUAGCUAGUCUCUUAGGAAAAACACAAUUGUAACAAAAUGGGCUUUAAAGUUCUAUUGAACUACAAAAACUAAUGUAACAUCAGAUUUUGAUCAAAUAUGAGACAUAACUGUAUGGUGGUUGUGUCCACACAUAGUGGCUGAUCUUGUCCAAAAUAUUGGGAGGAGCGGAAAGUACAAACUAAAAUAUUGUUAAAGUCAUAUAAAUAUAAGCUUUCCUCUUAAAAAAAUGCAUCAAUUUUGUUAUGUUUAACCAUUGUAUCACUCGUAAAAAACACACAAAUCAAAUACUAAUAACAUAAAGCAGCAAGAAAUUCAACAAAAAAAGAAACUCAUUUGCAUAUUGCCUUCCAAAUUGACACCUAUUCAACACCAUUGACACUCUUGCCAACAUAUCCAAUACAAAGUCUUACUAAAUUGCUAAUUGAAAUAAUAAAAUUUUGAGACAAUGACAUAAUUCAAUGUAAUCACACAUGUCAAUGUUGCGUCGGCAUCAGACACAGGACACACCUUCUAUCGAUCAUGAGUGUCGGUGCUACAAAGCCAGAAACCCACAUAAAAAAACAAAUUACAAACAUAACAGAGACAAGCUAUGGUUUCAUUAAAUUUGAAAUUCAUUGAUUUGAAGAUUUGUGAAGUAUAUGAAAAUUAUUAGGGUUUAUGUAAAACAGUGGGAAAACUCGCUAAAAAUUGUUGUAGAACCUUAAAAUUUAUUUUUUUAUAACCUACGAUAUAAACAAGAAAGAGAUGGAAGGUGAGUUAUUGCGUUGUUGAGAAAUGGAAGAAGAGGAAUUGAAAAUGAAUAAAAGAUUGGUGAAGUUUGAAGAAUGAGAAGAGAAGAGAAGACAAACAAACCUGAGAAACUGAAGAAUGAGAAGAGAAGACGGAGUCGGAGAGAGAGAGCCGCCGCCGGAGUCAGGCUGUCAGAGGGAGAGAAUUUCGGGCGAAGCAGAAGCAGGUGAGGUUGGAGAUACACCUGCAAAAUAGUGCCUAAUGUAUUACGGUACGAGACUUCCUCAACUAAUUGAUUGAUUUUGUUGUGUUUGAUAUAGUUAAUGGUUAGACUAGUUUUUUUUUCUUUCCUACUCACCUACACGUGCAAUUAUGAAAACUAAUCUUUAAGUCAGACUAUAAUGAAUGUCAAUCUCAAAAGAUUUAGCACCAGCACGUUUAUGAUUUAGUUUGAACUCAAGACAUAUGGUUGAACUAUAAAAAAAUUAUUAGUUCACUACCAAAUAAAAAAUAUCUAUUACUUCUAGAAAGGACAUGUGGCCCAAGGCGCUGCUUCAGCUUACUUCUAGAAACCUCUAGAACACGCCUAAAAUAUUUAAAUACCACUAUUAUUUGCCGUCUAAGUAAGCACAAAUCAGAUUUAUAGAGGGCUAUAUAUACAAACUUUGAGAGUCUUCUCAAGGCAUGACCAAUACGAUACAAACUCUAAUACGAUUAUUGUACUUUUUGCAAGUACACCUAGGAACCUGAGCAAUGUGAGACAAAUAACAAUCUACAAGCAACUUCAAAAUCGACUUCAACAUCCACCCUCACGUCUAGCGUGGGCUCGUGUCCAAUUUCCACAUUGUAAUCUUAAGUAAUCUGGCUCUAAUAUCACGUUAAAUAAGUCUGGAUUUAACCCAUUUAUUGUUGGCCUAGUGGUUGACUUGGGAUCUUGGAGUUUGCUUCCCCAGAGGUCUCAGGUUCGAUUUCCUCUGAUGCCAAUUUCGGUGGGCUAAGUCUAUACAGAGUUUGCUUUGGCUUUAAAUGGACCCCGCAAGUGGGCGGUGGGGUUGGUCCUCUCGGAUUAGUCGAUUCUUGGAUCAGAUAUCAAUUUUUUUUUUUUUUAAAAAAAAAAAGGAUCCCGUCCUAAAAGUUAAUUCAAAUGAUAAGGGUACUCAAACAUAUUUAUACACUCAACAACCUAGGAACCUGAGGGACAAAUAACAAACUACUAACAACCUCAAAAGUGACCUCAACAUUAUCCAUAUAUACCAAACCCAAAUACACCAUUUUAUAACCAACCUCUUAUGAAUUACACUUAUCAACAAAUUCUUCAAAUGACUACCAACAAAUAGAACCACCAAUAAGUUAUGGAGUGAUUGAUUAUGUGAUUGGAGGAAGUGGAAAAUAACAAUGAUGAAAGUGAUAACAAUAUCAUCUUGCUUGUUGAUCUUUAUUAAAUGCAGUCUAUCUUUACAUGUUAUAACAAUGGAGAAAAGUGAAAACGAUUAAUUUUUAAGUUCUUAUGCAUUAUAUAUGAUUAUAUAAAUAAUUUUAACAAAAUAUGCGUAAAGUUGCGACCAUUAUUUAUAUAUCGCAACGUCCAUUGCCGUCUUCUCUCCUCUUCUCACAUUUGUCACUCACUCUACCAAUUGAUUGAUGAUUCUCUAAUUUCUCAUUUCUCAUUCCUUCUCCAAAUUGUUUGUUUUAGGGUUUUAGAAUUGAGAAGCAAUGGAGAAAGUAGACACUGAAAUCAUCCCUAUGCCUUUCCCUCCUUACCGUCGAUCUCACUUCCGCAGCCAUACUUACACCACCCUUCUCCGUAUUCUUUCCCACCUUUCUUCUUCCACCGUUCCUGGUACAUUAUUCUUAUUCUUAUUCUUAUUGUUGUUGCUUCUACUUUUACCUUUUGUUUUACUACUGCCAAAAUCAUUGAUUUUACUUUAGUUGAAUGUAGAGUGAUUUACAUAAAAGUGAAUUGAACAAUAAAUUUCAGUGUAAAAACCACAUUUAGACUCAAAAGCUACAAAACCUAGCUUCAGGUUAGAAUCAACUCUGGAGGCUAAAUUAAUGGUUCUCGAGGUCAACUAGGCAUGUUAAAAUCAAUCAAUUUUACACCUCAAGAGUCGAUUUUGGUUGUUCCAAACAUAGGCUAAAGCGCAGCAGAAUUUGAACAAACUAUUUAGUACAAAAUGUGUUCAAAGCGGCGGCUAUAGUGGCGUUAUAACAAUAUUGCAUAGCGGAAUUAUAUCAAUCCGCUAUCCGUGAUUGAGUGAUCGAGUCAGCACAGUUAGUUAUAGGAACAUGGUUUUGUUUCGCUCUGUAGUACCAGUAUUCUGCUUGCACAGUUAGUUACAAGGUUAAGACAUUUUUUGGCUAGCUGUGCUAUAUUACUCUAUUAAGGGCUGUGGUUGCAGUGUCAAGAGACAUAAAAAAUCCUUCAUGUCUCACAGCUAGGGUUGCGGUAGCGAUUGCCCCUUUUCGUUUUUGAUAUUAUUGAUUUGAAUGAUUGUUCAGUUCAGUUUCUUUUGUUAAUUGAAAACACAAGGGUGUUCCUUUUCUUCAAUAUAUUUAAAGUGCACUUUUCCCCCUUAACUUUAAAAAGUUGCGAUUUUGGCCCCCUAUGUACAAAAUCUACAAUUUUGGUCCCCUAAGAUUUAGCCCCUUUGCAUCUUUGGUCCUUUUGGUCAAUUUUGACCAAGUCAACGCUGAUUUGGCAUGCCACGUGUGUAAUUAGCCAUUUUUUAAAAAUAAAAAUGUAACAUGUUAAAUUGUUGAAUUAAAAAAAUUUUAAAAAAAGGAAGAAGGAGAGGCACGUUCAUCUUCCAAAAAAUUAAAACUUCAUAUCCAAUAUGCAAUUACUUAUUUUGCUUACAAUGUUUGUAUUGUUCAAUGGUGACAUGCCACUGUCAAGUCGCAACGCAACUAUGCACAACUGUAUAUCCAAUAUCCAAUUACUUAUGGAUCGAAGUAACCAAGAGAAAACGAUGAUGGCUCACAACCAUGUUUCAUCGCCUUCUGUUUCGUAGGUAUGAACAGCCAGAGUUAUUGAAGCUUAAACUGUCUGAUUCAAUGUUGCUCUGAUACCCUUCACGUUAUAUUUUGUCCCUAGGUGUAAUAAGACCUGCAAUGUUGGAAAGUAACUGAAUUAGAUAAAACCAUAUAUAUCCACUUUAUAGAAGUUUUUUAAGUUGUGGUGAUUUAGAAAGGGGUAAAAACAUUUGAGGUGAUUUUUCAUUUGAGGUGAUCUGCAAUGUAAAAUGAAAUAAUUUAGAAAGGGGGAAAAACAUUUGAGGUGAUUUUCUGAAUCUUUUUAUGAAGGUUGUUAUUGUUGUUGACGAGAUUGUUGUUGUUGUUGUUGAAAAGAUUCAUGGUGUAUUUGAUGGAGUUUCUGGGUUUUGGUUGAGAAGAAGAUGAAGUUGUUAAGAAAAUGAUGAGAAGAUGAAGUUUUAAUUUUUUGGAAGAUGAAGAUUUUCUGGAUUUUCACGUGCCUCUCCUUCUUCCUUUCCUUUUUCAUUUUUUUAAUUCAACAAUUUAACAUAUUACAUUUUUAUUUUUAAAAAAUGGUUAAUUACACAUGUGGCAUGCCAAAUCAGCGUUGACUUGGUCAAAAUUGACCAAAAGGACCAAAGAUGCAAAUGGGCUAAAUCUUAGGGGACUAAAAAUGUAGUUUUUGUACAUAGAGGGCCAAAUUCACAACUUUUUAAAAGUUAGGGGGGGGAAAGUGCACUUUAGCCUAUAUUUUUUUUAGAUAUAAAAAAACUUCCUGUCACAACAAAAAUAUAAAUAAUUUGAUGUCACAGAUAAGGUUAAGGUUGCGGUUGCAGACAUUUUUAACUUGCCUGUUUUUUUUUUUACAUAUUUGUUGAUUGAAAAACAGAAGGGUGUUCUUUUUCUUCAUUUUUUUAAAAACUUUUUUGUGAAGUUUCCUGUUGGAUUUUGAAUUAAAGCUUAUUUGUUUGGUUGUUGUUAUGGAUCAAAUUGAUGAUAGGUCAUAUUUCAAUGCUGCACUUUUCAUAUUUUUUUGCUACACUCUUUGUUAAAAAAUUUAAUAAUUUUUCUUCCUCUUUCAAGAUAAUGGCAAUGUUGGAAUGGGGCAAGAAAACCAGGAAAAGGAGCCUGAGAACUCCGAGUUAAAAGUUGGUGCUGAUGUCAAGGAUCCCAAGGGUCCAAUACCCUUGAAGGAAAUACAUGAUGUUCAUGAGACCAUUGAAAGUGUUGGAGACAAGGGUAAGGAUUUGAGUGCCAAUGCUAUGGUCCUAGAUGAUGCAGCAGCAUUUCUUAUGGGAGGAGAUGAACAAUCUACACAAACAGAUGGUUUUCAUUUGGAACAAACGAUAAUGGACGAGUUGGAGCUUGUUGUAAAAGGGGAUGAAGAUCCUGUUUGUGAUGAUAGUUUAAUCCCCUUGAACUGCGAGAAACAGAAUAGCGGUAGUGAAGUUGAUUUGAUGGAUUACCGAGUAGAACAUGUUGAACAUCUGCGUUCUGGUACAAAUACGUCUGAAAGUGUAAGUGAGGUGCAGUCGCAAGUACAAGGGGAGCUUAAUCAACUUGACGUGGAAGGCUUUAAUGUGUCCGAGUCAACAAAGGGACAAGCUUCCGAUUCCGUAAUUAGUAGUACAUCAAGCAUACAGAUUGAAAGACAACAGAAGGAAACAGAAUUGGUAACGCUGGUUUGUCCUCUAGCGGGAUCUAUUCCUACUAUUCAAGAGGGUGAAUUUGAGAAGGAAGAACAGUAUGGUCAUAAGGUUGAUGAAGCAACUCAUAGUUCUUUAGAUCUUGAUACAAAUACUGAAGCAUUGAAUAUGACAGAAGAUGGUGGAUUGCUAGACUCUACAAUUUUGAAAGAUAAAUGUGAAACACAAAAUGAAGAGAAAUCAGAGAAGUUAAUUUGUGUGAAAAAUACAACAAAUUCUUCCGAUAUUCUGAUCGACGAAGGAGAUCUAGAAGAGGGAGAAAUUUCUGGAGAAAUUUCAAUGGAUGGAAACACAUUUGACGUGUCUUCUGCAGAUGCUAUAGUUUCAGAACAGAUGAAAUUGGAUGAGAUUGAGAAACCCGGGAGUUCAUUUGAAAACAUGACUUCUCCUUUCAAUACGGGUAUCUCCUUUCAAGGCUUUCCAUCUAAUCUCUUUACGGUAAAUGCAAUUCAAGAUACACCAACAUUAACCAAAAAUCAAGUCUUGCGCAAAGGAUUCAUGGAAGAAACCUCUCACGGGAACUCGUCUGUAGUACAGGUAUGGAUUUCACCGAGUAUUUUAGCACAAUAUUCAAUGAUAACCUACCUUUAUUUUAGUUACCUUUACAUUGUGUUCUGUACUCACCACCAAUGAUGAAUGGAAGAUAUUCGACGAUGAUCCUUCCUUUUGUAAUUUUUAAUAUAUCGCCCUAUUUGAGUUUGUUUGGGAAAAUUUAUUUAAGGUCAGAAUAAUGUUCUGAAGUACUUUAUCAUCAACCAUAUCCUUCGGUAUCCUAUUUAGAGUUCCAUAAUAUAGACAACUAUUCAACAAUGUUAAAACUUGGUGAUGUUUACUUUUCUUUGAUUAAUUAUUGUUCAUAUGCAGCAGAUUGUUGAUGCCAGCAGAAAUGAACAAAGUGGUCCUGAUCCUAAGAAGAAGAAAAACAAAAAGGUGUUCUUCUGAUAUUGUUGGCUUGUUAUAUUUUCUUUCUUAAUGUUGUAUUGAAUUUCUAAACUUGUGAUAUGGGUUUUGAGGCUAGCUGGUUUUUCCUCCUCUGAAGUCACCCCAACAUCAGUUGGUACAUUAUCUACUAUUUAUGAAGAAGAGAAUUGCUAGCAAAACACUCUCUAACACUCUUUUCAACACACGUUCUUCCAUUUAUCAAAAUUAAUAUAUGUUCUACUGUGUUUAUGUAGGACCCACAUCAUUUAACUGGCAACUGUAUUAACUGGCAACUGCCAAUCAACUCCGAGUGUAACUGUCUAACUGUAUUAACUGGCAACUGCCAAUCAUCUAGGAGUUGCUGACUGACGCUUGUCAGUCAGCUAGAGGCAGUUAGUUUAUGUCUAUAAAUAGACUUUUCAACCUAAUGUAAUUAAGACUAAGAAAUCAAUCUAACAGAAUUCACAAAAACAUAUUUUAUUCACAAAAACAGUUUAAUAAUUUUAAUGCAAGUGAUGCUUAUAUUUUUGGCGAACUAUUGAUCAUUUGCAGCAGAUGGUUGAUGCCAGUGGGAGCAAACGUGGUCCUGGUUCUCAGGAGAAGAAAACUAGAAAGAGGGUAUUAUUCUGAUUUUAUUAAUAUAUCUUCCUUUAUGUUGUAUUAAUGCCUUUAACUUGUAAAUAUAUUUUGAAGCCAAUUAAUUUCACAUCCUUUGAGGUCAUUUCAACAUUGGUUUAUUAAUUAUCUGCUAGUUACGAGAAUAAUCCUUAGUUCUAUGUUUUUGUAUUACUGAUGAUUUCUUUAUUUGAUAAAAUUUGCUCUGCAGAAGAAGUAUCGAAAGAACAAAGCAGAAAAGAACAGAGAGCCAGGUGGUAAAAGGCCAAAGUUUAUUCCAGAACAAAAACCAAAACCUAAACAAUGUCGCCAUUAUAUGAAAGGAAGAUGCCAUGAGGUUAUAUUAAACUCAGUUAUAUUAAACCUCGACUUAUUCUUCACUUUAUAUCAUGACACCUUUAUGCUUGUUUUAAAUUUCUUUUAUUAUUCUUCAUUAUACUGUUACAUUAGACGGGAUAGGAUUAGAAAUGACGACGUUACAGAGAGAAUUGGGGUAGCACUUAGUAGAAAAGAUGGUGGAAACUAGACUUAGGUGGUUUGGGCAUGUAGAGAGAAGACAUGUAGAUUCUGUAGUAAGGAGAGUAGAUCACAUGGAGAGUAGUCAAAUCACUAGGGGGAGAGAAAGACCUAGAAAAACUAUUAGACAAACUAUUUAGAAAGAUCUAGAUAUUAAUGAGUUGGACCUAGAGUAGAUCACAUGGAGAGUAGUCAAAUCACUAGGGGGAGAGAAAGACCUAGAAAAACUAUUAGACAAACUAUUUAGAAAGAUCUAGAUAUUAAUGAGUUGGAUAGAAAUAUGGUAUUAAGAGCAUUAUGGCGUCGUUUGAUCCAUGUUUAGUGGGAUAAGGCUUGGUUCUUGUUGUAUUGUACCAUUACACAAUACAUACGAGAAUUUGUUAUUCUAGUAUUGAUGCUUCAUUUAACUUUUUGAUUCUUAAGAAGGUAAAAAUUAUAUAUUUGUUAAUUGGAACAUAGAACUUGCAUGAAUAUUCAUUUAUAUAUGGGAUUAAUGAGCCAUGUCUUUAAAUAACAAGAUAAAUUUCAUGUUGAUAUUUUACUUGUCAUGUUAGAAGAUUUCCGUAUUCAUGACUUGAAUUACAAUCUUGUAAACGUUCUUCUUUUUCAGUUAUAUAAUUUGACAUUUGAAUUUAUCUGAACCCUGGAGAGUUUAUUGUGGUUUUGUGGAAACUGAAAGUUACCUCCAGGGCCGAACCAACGCAUAUAAGGCCUUUUUAUCAAGUAAAUUUUUAAAAAAAAAAUUAAGGUUGUGAUUCCGUUGCUUGCCUUACCCUUGGGCCGACCCUGGUUAUAUAUAUAUACAUAUAUAUAUAUAUAUAUAUAUGUGUGUGUGUGUGUGUGUGUGUGUGUGUGAUCUCUAUAUUGAAAACUAUCAAUUCUUACUUUCUCUUGCUUUGAUCAAAACAAAUUUGACAGGGGGACCAGUGCAAUUUCUCACAUGAUGCUAUUCCUUUAACAAAGUCCGUGGUAUUGGUCUUUUUAAAAUAUCACUCCCUAUUAUUCUUUUCAUGUUUAAAUAUGUAUAUGGUCCCUGCAAAUAUAUGCCACCUUUUGGUUUUAGUCCCGGUAAAUUUUUGUUUUUUAUCCUUGUAAAUAUACCACUUUUCUCUUUUUUGUUUUAAUCUCUGUAAAAUUUGUUCUUGUUGGAAUUAGUCCCUGUAAUAUGUGUCUAAUAUUUGUUUAAGUCCUUCUGUUGUCUGUAUUAGAGGGCCUAAAAUCAAAUACUUUGCAUAUUAUGGGACUAAUUCCAACAUGAACAAAUUUUUAAGAAACUAAAACAGAACAUCAAAAAUCAAAAUAUAAAAGGCUGUUCAUCGCUGUAUCUUCGUAAGGAUGAAAAAACAAAACUUUUACAGGGACCAAAAACAUUUAAGCUUUCUUUUCAUCAAGUUGUAACAAAACCAAGAGAAAUUUACAGAACCUUGUUGAUUUUGAAAUUGCAGCCAUGUGCUCACUAUGCCUGUGGCUCUUGUAUGAAAGGGAAUGAUUGCCCAUAUGAUCAUCAGCUUUCCAAGUAUCCUUGUUCCAAUUUUGUGUCUAAAGGCUCCUGUUAUAGAGGUCGUUGUAUGUUUUCACACCAGGUACGACAUCCUAUUCAACUUUACUUGUUGUAAAUGACUUAAUGUCAACGAACGUAAUAAAUAAUCAAUGUUGUCAUAUAGCGGCUACACUGACGCUAUAGCAUAGUAAAAUUUGAAAAACCAAUAUUGUUCCGUGAUACUAUUUGUACAAAUUGUUGUUAAAUAGUAGCAUAGUGGAAUUUGAACAAACUUCUUUUUCUGCGAUCCACAAUUUACAACACUGUAAAUAACGGAUUUGCAUUGUAUAUUUAUUCUCUCUUGGAUUAAAACGAGCUCUUUCUCAUUUAGGUGCAAACCAGCCAAGAUAUACCUACGCCUACAAAUGCUUGCAAACCAGAGUUGAAGUCUCCUCUUUCGUCAGGAAAUACAAAUUUCAGUACACCACUGAAUAAUCAUGGCACUGGUUCUGUCCAACAAACCAACUCCAAUUCUAAGGGAAUUUAUUCUCACACCAAUGUAGAACAUAAGGUGACAGACGUUUCACAGACAAAGCCUACCUCAGCACCCAAAGGAAUUAGAUUUAUAAAUGUUGCUAACUUAUCACCUACUACACCAAAACAAGACACGGUACAACCAAACAAGGGAAAUCUUGUCCACGGUGGAACAUGUGCAGAUAAAGGUCAAAAUACUGUGGAAAUUUCUAAAAAAAUUCCAGCUGUCAUGCCCAAGGGAGUCAACUUUCUUUCUUUCGGCAAAGGUUCUGUUUGCAGUUUUAAACUUUCUAUUCAAUCCACUGCACAAGAAAUGAUAUUGAAGUUGCCUCAGUCAGUCAAUUUUGGUUUGUCUGAACAUUCAGUUUCACUGCUGAAUAAGGAUGAUCAUGGAAAAGCUAUUGACAUAACUGCACAAAAUUUACCACAAACUGCGCUAUUCUCACAUGAGAUUUCAGACAAAAACCAAUCCAUGGCAGAACGAAUGAAAUCAAGGUUUCUGGAGAAAGAUUCAACCGAUGAUUCUGUGAGGGAUCACAGCCAUUGUAAAUCAGCUCAAGAGGUAAAUAAGGCAUCUGAUAAUUCUCAGGCUUCAACUGUGACCUCAGCUACGCUUCUUGCUAGUCCCUUUGUUUCACUUCAAUCUUCAGAAGGCCUGGUAUCUGGAUGUCCUAAACAAGCAUCAAACAUAGGCCAAAGGGCACUCAUUUCGACUUUAGCUUUUGCGGCGGAGCAUGAAUCAAAUAUUAAGAUGAAAUGCCCUACUGGUGCUUCACCUGUAUGAUCAGAGGAAAAUAAGUAAAACAAUUGCAGCUUGGAGUUCAAAAAGAAUAGCAUUGCUAAAAUUGUUUUCAAUCCAUGAAGCUCUUGGUGAUUUGAAUCAAGGCACUUCCUAGCUUAUUGGAUGAUAACCAGGUAGGGGGUUGUUUAGUUUAUUAUGUUUCCAUUUCUCUCGUGGUAUGAUUGCAGGAAAAGUAGCACUUACUAUCAAUAACAGUUAUUUCUCAUUUUAUAUUUGAAAUUAAAUGGGUUUAGACCAAAUGAACAAUUGGAAUUUGAUUGCAUUCAACAUGAUUAUACGUAAAUCCUUAGUUCAAUUGUUAUUUUAGAGCAUAUUUAUUUUAAUAUAGCAGUUUCAAUUUCAAUAGUCCUUGUGUGCUCUUUAGAACUCGACAAUGUAAAUUGGCUUAUCUUGUUACAACUCAACUUUAUUGCGUACAUUGUAGGUAAUGCACUCAUGCUGUUCUUUAUCACAACAGAUUUGCAAAGGUGGAUUUCUCCAUCUACCUGUCAGUCACUCACACAAGCAACAUUCUUUGCUUCUGGAAAUGACUUGAAUUUUGAAGUGGUUAAUGGGUUUUAAAAUUUUGGUUCUAUGAUUGUACCUAUUAAACUUGGUCUGGUGUUUGCUUGUGCAGGUAACUUUGAGCAAAUUGGCUGUCUUUUAAGAUUUUGCACGAAAAGCUGCUUAAACCAGUUGUUUGAUCUUAGUUUCUUAUAAUUCUGCAGGUGUAUAUAUUUUGUAUUUAACAGUAGUACUAGAAACUUCUAAUUUCUGAAUAUUUUUUGGGAGAAAUUCUGAAGAAAAAAAUGAUUGGAGCAAUAUAUGGCUGAAUGAUCUUAUUACAAUUUUUUUUUCCCAUUUCAUUUGCUAUCAUUUCUAGUUUACAGUGUUUGUUCAACCAUUUUAGUUUUAACUGUCUUGAUCUUUGAUAUCCUAAUGAGUCGAACUGAGUAGUUAUAUAAAGGGUAAAGCUCCGAGACUAUAUUUAGAGUGAAGAUUCAUUUUAGUCCCUUCAAAAAAAUUGACAUUCAAUAUUGUUUUUCAUAGUAAUAAUCUUUGGAAACAAUAAAAAAUAGUCCCUGGGAACUCUGUCCUGAUUUUGUAAGAAAUCAGUUCAUGCAUUUUAGACCGGAUAUGUACUUAAAUUCAAACUCAUUUACAAUAAACUCAUUUUUAACCAAAUUUCAUGUCUCAAGCACCAAAUUUCAGCUUGUGUUGUGAUAAUGCAAAUUAAAGGCACCAAUAAGUAUUAAAGAUAGACCCGACAUUUUCACACAUCAAACUUCCAAGUCAAACCAAUAUAUAUCUUUUGCGGAAAUCAUGAAUACUAUACCAGCAAUAUAUAUCUACCAUCAUUUUAUGACUUUAACCCAGCAACUCUAACACCCAAAUCUUUUAAAAUGACCAAUAACUUGGUAAAACAAUAAACUAGUAUCUACAGAACAAAGCUUGACAGCAUAUUAAAACUAGUUUUUUUUUCUUUGAGAGGGUGAAGCAUAAAACUAGUUAGUAACCACAAAACAUGAAAUUCAGUCGAACAUUACUCAUAACUGCAGGAAUCAUCUUUAAUAAAGUUCCUAAAACAAAAGCAUUAUACUUCCACAUGGUGGAAAUUACAUUAAAUUCUGAUAAAAAUCUAAAUAUAAACAAUUUUACAUUAAAUUCAUUUUUAACUAAAGUCAAUGUAAUAAAAUCAAUUCACUCAAAAUAAAUUAUCAUCACCACUAAAUUAAGCAAUUGAUUCGACUUUAUAUGCAAGGAUUCAUUUCUACUCUGGCAAUAGGUUAAUUAGUAAUUAGUAUUUUUUAGAUAAUCAUGGAUAUCCAAUAAGCACAUGUAAUAAUAAGUCUAACACACACUUAGACUUUGUCAUGCUAGGACUAAUCUUUGAUAAUUUGACAUGUAGAGUGUAGAUGCAAUAACAUUGUCACUUUUACAUUAUAGAAGUAAAAAGAAAAGUCAGAAAAAUAAAAAGGUGAGUAACCUCAUGAAGCUUCAAAACUAGUGUACUUUAUUUAUUUCCAAAGUACAAAAAAAAGCAAAAAGCCUUAGAAGUGCCCGUGGAAUUCGAUUAGACAUGUUCAAAGUACUGUGGCUGGUUGGUUAGGGUAAAAGGAUGAUAUUUUGCUCACACUUUAAUUUCCAACCAUUACCUCUAAUAAUUUAUACUUUGAAAAGUGAUUUGGAAACAGAAAUCCUGAAGUUAAGGAUAUAAAGACAGCGAUGAUGGGAUCAUACAAUGAUUUGAUCUUUUAAUUUGACCAUUAUUUUGGUGGAGCGUGUGUGUGAAGAUAAUUAUGUAGUAUGUAUGAACAUAUGAAGAUUAUAUACGGCGAUUAAGGCACAUUAUUUUAAUUUAACAAUGCAAUUAUUAAUAGGCAUAAGACAUCUUAGUGGGUCACUUUCAACGGUUUCUAAAAGUUUAGUGUAUAUGUUAUUGAGCAAAACACAAGUUAAUUAAUGAAUACAAUCAUACAUGAUCACUCUUUUAGGGUUCAUUUACUUAAAGUUGGACAGUGAAAAAAAUAUAUUUUAAAUUACGGUUUUAUAUUGCUAAAAAAGGAUGACGAAUGUGGCAGAUGGAGUUGCCAUUAUGGUCAAAAUACAAUUAGAAACCUUCAAAUCUUUAUAUUGUUGAUGCAAUUGCAACUUGUCAACCGAAAACUAAAGAUAGAGGUCAGUAAACGUAUGUUUGAUUGUGCGGCGGAUGAGACAAACUAAAAAUGGAAACUGAUUAGGUGACGACGGAUGAAUGCAACGGUGACAGUGUGGUGUUUCAGCACGGUAGUGGUGUGGUCUUUACGAUGAAACGAAGGUGCCUACAAACAUGUUAGCACUUCAACGCUCAAGUCAAUGUAGGGAACAAGGUUGGAUGUGUAAAAGUGUGUGGAAAAUGAACUGUAUCUUAAGGGUGACGUGAAAUCACCCUUAUAUAGGAGGAGAUGCUAACUACUUCCGUAAAAUGCGACGUCUCAUCAUGAAGCCAUUAGGAAGUGCAGGUGCGUGAUUCAGUGCGGUGGUACACACUGUUGCUGGCAUGCUCACGCAUGACACCACCCGUUGGUCUAAAAGAUUUUGUCCACGUGUUGUCACAUGAUUGGUCUUCUGAUUGGUCCAAAACAGAAACUAUUUUUUAAAACUUCAAUUUCAUCGAGUAUUUAAUAUUUUUAUCACCGCAGAAACAAACAUACAUUAAAUGCACUAAUUAAACCCUUUUUAACGAGUUUGCUCAUGCUACGGAGUAGGUGAUACAUCUCCAUUAUAGAAAAAUGGCAAUGCCUGACCAAAAAAAAAAAAAAAAGAUAAAUGGCAAUGCUUGAUUUGACUUAUUUGGUCUUUUCUCUUUGAUUUUGGCGAGCAAUAGUUGUUGGAGAAAAUUGAACAAUAAUUAGAAAGAAACAACGACUCCAAUUGUUUCUAAUUGACAAAGAUUUGUGAUAUUGAUAAGGAUCAAGACUCCUAAACGUGUGGAUUUUGGAAGAGUAACUUGGCAGUUCUUCAUAAAUAAUUUUGGAUGGCUAGGGAGGGAUCUAUGAUUGCUAUAGCUUAUUGAUUAGAUUUUCAUUAUGUCAAUAAAUCAUGUUUAUGGUUCAAUCAAUUUGCAUUAUUAUUGGUGAUUCAAAAGUCCAAUUGAUGUACAUCGAAUUUAACACUUGCUGACUCUAAUGCACGUGUGCCAUGCAUUAAGGACAAAAGUUCCUAUGAUGUUACACUUGUAGACCAUAUAUUAAGGGGUCCACAAUCAUGAAAUCUCUACCCCUAUUCUCUAUGUUUCUCUCAUACUAGCAUUUCAAUUUGAAUAAUUUGGGGCAUGGGGCAUGGGGGUGUUAUUAUCAUAUAAUUAAAUUUUUUUUUUAAGCAAAAGAAUGGAUGCAUAGGGAUCUCCUGCCACAGAAUCCUAAUCAUAUAUAAUAAGAAAGAAGUACAAAAAGUGAGUGGGGACAAAACCAAGACCCUCAAGAAAAUUAAAAGCUAACAGGAAAAACAAAAACCCAAAACAAAAACAAGAGAGAAAAGACCCGCAAAAGAGCUAGUGAGGCGAACGGCUAGGAGGUACCCAUCUUGAAACCUUUGCAUGCUUUGGACUGUUGCUUCUUGCUUUUCUUCUUUCUUGGGACCACAAGUUGAAAUGGUUGGCCAGUAUCUCUUGCUAAAUCAACAGUUUCAUUUUUCUGACCCAUGUUAGCCCAAGAAUCACUCAAAAAAUCUAUAGUUUGCUGGGCCACAGAAGGGACGAGUCCUAAAACUUGCAUAUCGUGAGUAACAUUGGCACUAAAAUUAGACAAGUUAGGGUCGGUCCCAACUAUGGAAUCAUUCAUUCCUAAUUCAUGCUCAAAGUCAUUCAGAGUAUGAUCAUUACCGUAAUCCAUAUCAGUCACCGCAUCACACCAAGGGUCAGUGAUACGCAUAUCAGCAAAAGAAUUGCUAUGUUGAUUCCCAUUAUGAAUCUCAACCUGAGCUAAGGUGUCUUCCACUUGCACAUGAAGAGUUUCAACAGUAGAAGAUGCCUCUUCCACUAACUUAAUAGCAUCUCCUACGUUCAUUGUAGUUGUCAUCUCUCUAAACCUUAUAAUAUCAAAAUGACUAGAGCUAGUAGUAAAUCAAAAUAAAUACUACAUAUUUUAUGGAAAAAUAGUUAUUAAUUUCAUAAAAAUCCAGUCAUGUAAUGAAAUUGAAAAUCUACUUUUAUCUUUGUGUUCUUUUUAAUAAAUAAACUUUUAUCUUAAUUAGUUCCGUUGAUUUUAACACAUGUUUAGAAAUGCAAUGAAAUCAUCUCCUAGAUAUCUAGACUUGAGGGCGUUAAAUUUCCUUUGUAAAUACUACCCCCUAUUGUCCUUGUUGCAAUGUUCAUCGGAGAAGAAUCAAUAUGUAUCCGCUCUAUACGAAUCAGAUGUAUUAAUUAUCACUAAAUUUAAUAGUGAAUAUUUUUUUAUUGAAAAAUGCUAACUUAUGCUCUAAGGACACAAGAUAAAGAUCUAAAAAUAAAAUUAAGAAAUAAAUGUUGCAUUGAAAAUAUAAGGUUUUGAGUUUUUAAAAUUAUGAAUGCACAAUUUACAAGAUUAAAUUUCUACAUAUAUUUCUUAUCAUGUGCACUUAAGGCACAAGUUAGCAAAAUGCUAGUUAACUCUAGGCUAAAAUAUGGUUUUAGUCCUUGUAAAUAUGUCUCGUUUUGGUUUUAGUCCCUGUAAAAAAAAAAUUGUUUUUGGUCCCUGCAAAAUUUUUUGUUUUUGAAAAUAGUCCCUGACCCCACUUUUGUGAUGAUUUGCAUACGUGACACAUUAUAACUGAACCAAUUUUGUAGUUUUUGAUCCCUGCAAAAUAUUUUGUUUUUAAAAAAGGUCCAUGCAAAAUUUUUUGUUUUCAUGGACUAUUUUCAAAAACAAAAAAUUUUGCAGGGACCAAAAACAGGGACUAAAACCAAAACGAGGCAUAUUUGUAGGACUAAAACCAUAUUUUAGGCUUAACUCUAUUCAAAUUUUAUCUAUACUAUAUAUUAAGAAAACUAUCUCUUUCAGCUCUUUUGGACUUAAUUUUUUUUUCUUCAAAAAAUGCCCUUGAUUUUUAAUAAAAAUAACAUGUAAAAAAUAUAUAAGAAUAAAUUUAAAUAUUAAAAUAAAAGUCUAACAAACACAAAUGUCCAGUUUUUUCCUUUAUCAUUUAAAAAGUGUAACAAACUAUAUGAUUAUAUUUAUACUUACUUUUUCAUUAUCUCAAUUAUACCAUUAAAUAACAACUUUUUUUAUAAUAAAGAUUGUUGUUGGUGUCAUUAAAAAAAUAAGAAUUUAGAUUUUUUUUUUUGUUAUAUUGUUGGUUUUACUGAAAUAGAUAAUCAUUAUUAGUUUGAUUUGUUAUAAUUUGAAAACAAAAAAUAUUUAUAUUUUUACUUUUAAUCAAAACUAAAAUUUCAUAAAAAACACCAUUCUUAAUUUUCAAACUUUAGCGCAAUAAAAAAAAAGGAAAGACGGACACUCUAGUGCCCGUCUUUUCGCUAGUGAUAUAAUAAAAAACAUAAUUAUAUUUUGCACCUUAAUUAAAAAUGCUAGUUAACUCUAUUCAAAUUUUAUAAUAUAAUAAAAAAUAUAAUUAUAUUCAUCAAAUAAUUAUUUUUCUUGAUUAUUAGUUUUUGAUUUUUUUUUUAAGAAACUAAACUAACCCAUCCAGAUUGAGACCUUGACGAGGGCACCCUUCAAUCCUUUCUUUGAAAUUUUGUUUAAUAAGAUUAUCAAUUGAAGAGUACUUUUGAACUGCUAACAUUAUAUAUAUUGAUGUUAAUUGGAAUUUAUUUUAUAUUUGAGUCUACAAUAUUGUUCUUUUUUAGUUUGUUUAUAUUUGAGUUAAGAAGGAGUAUGUAGAUAUAUUAAUAAUCUUGUGUACACUAAAACCAUACAUCCUUUUGCCAAUUUUUUCCACACACACAUCAAAGUGGCCUAUCUACGAACACCACUAGAAAUUGAGGCUUACUGCUAAAAUAUUUGCCGACAAUAAGAGCCAAAAACAUAAUCAAGGGACUCAUGUAUUUGAAGGGAGUGGUGGUAAUGAGUUCUUAUGCAUGAUUAAUAUGUUGCUCUACUAAUUAAUAGGUUUUCUCAGUCGAAGAUAUCUUGCAACUACUUUAUUGUCGGACAAAUAUUCAAAUAUCUUCCACUGAUCUUAUUCUAAUAGAUUUUCUCCACUCGUAAAUAUAUGAUAAACACCUAGCUAACAGCCAAAACCCUAACUAGGGGAAUAUAAACAAAGUUAAAAAAUAUUAUAUUAAUCACCAAUAUAUUUUAUUGGUUCUAAAGUUAUAGGAGUCAGAUUCCCAUGAGCUUAGCUCAUUUAGUAAGGGAUAAUACACAAUAUGUGCAGGGCCGAGGUUCGAACUCCGGACACCUCACUUAUUCAUCUUUAAGGUGAAUUUCUCUAGUCACUAGGCUACUUGACAAAAAAAAAAGUUAUAGGAGUCGGUCAAUUUAAUUAUUCAAAUAGCAAAACUCCAAAAUAAUCAAUACAAUUAAAAAUAAGGUUUAAAUAAGUUUUUAGUCCCAGUAAACAUAACAAAUUUUAGUUUCGGUUCUCAUAAAAAAAGAGACAUAUUUUGGUGUCUAUUAAAAAAUUCAACACACAGUUUUAACCCUGUUAAGUUAAAAUUUGUUUAAUUAUACUUAAAAUUUUAAAUUUUUUACGGUUAUGUUAAGAAUAUAAGAAACUCUAUUACAAAAAAUUAUAUAUAUUUUUUUUAACAUGUAAUGAAUUAAAUAUGAAUUUUUCGAAACACCAAAAUUUCAGGAUUAAAGUAAUAAAAAUUUGGACUUAAAAAAUCAAAUUUUGAGCUAAUUUUAUGUGGAGGGACUUUGUAUAAUGUUGUAAAUUACUAUGUUAAAAAUCAUUCAAACAUUUAAGCUUAACUAAACAAAGUUUAAUUUUACAAGGACCAAAAGUAUGUGAUGAAUUUUUUUAUAGGGACCAAAACAUGUCACUUUUUUAUGAGGACUAAAAACAAAAUUGACUAUAUUUUUAUGGACAAAAAAAUUAUUUAACCCAAAAGGACUGAAGUCAUUGAUUAUUUUCAACUUUGAAAACAUUUAAAAAAUUUGAUAAUAUUAUACCAAAUUGUUACAUCCCUCUAAUUUUGUUAAUAUUUUUUUUAAUAUUGUUAAUAUUAUUCAUGUUUUGUGUAAAGCAAUGGGUACUUGAAGGCCCGACAAAGUCACUUGUUUUUUUUUUUUUAAGGAAAAGUCACUUUUAAUAAACAAACAACAAUGUUGAUGAAAUAAUAAAGCUUCAACCUUAAAAUCAAAGGUACACAAUUAUAAGUGUGAGUCCAAGCCAUUCAAAACGAUCUUGUAUUUCAUUCCUAUUCAUCAUGUGAUAUGCAAUUUAUACCAUAAGAUUAAAAUAAGACAACCUACAUUCAACUAUGAUAAUUUGAGUUCAAAAUACAAAAUCAAAACAUGAACUAUAAGAUUAUGCCAAUUUAUAUCAACGAUUGCGUGAUUGUGUGAAUAUUUCAAAACCAUAAGCUACAAACUGUAGAUGUGUUCAUAACAUGUCCUGAGGGAAAGCAUCAAUGAGAUGAUUUUUCAAAAUUUAAGAAAACAUUAAAGUAAAAAUGGUGGGGGUUAGAGGAUGAAUCGUAUAAUUAGGCUAAUGCAAGAAUUCUCAUAUCAUAUAUAUAAAAAUAAAAAUGGUGUCUUUUGUCUCUUCUUUUGAAUGUUAUGGGGUCCCUUGAUUCUGCUUCUUUUGGCUGACAUUCCUUUUUUAUAGUGUCUUUUGAUAUCCUUUGAUUCAUUCUUAUUCCUUUUUUUUUUUGGUGGCCAAUGAAAUAUGUUAUCUUUUCUUUUUUGCUACAUAUAAUUUGUUGCUAUCAUUAUAUCUGUUUAUUUUAAUCAAUGUUUCACUUUCUUAGCAUCUUCAACCUUUUCUAAAUUAGUUAUAAAAAAAGCAUAGGGCCAAAAUUUUGACCUAUGGUACAAAACCUAUAUAUAUAUAUUUUUAACCUAAACCGUUAAAUUGAAUGUAUCAAAUUCAAUCAAGAUGCAUAGUUGGCUAUGUAGCUGGGCUUGGAACUUCCCCAUCUGUAUACAAAAUGAAGCAGAUGGGACAAUUGAGGAAGAUUUGGAAAUCAUGCAAAGACUUAUGAUGCACAGAAAAUAUAGCAUGAAUAAUAGUUCCUCUAUCAAAUCAGGGGAUUCAUAUUCAAUGUUCAUUGAUAUGGCAACGGACAUUGUGGUGCCCUAAAGUUGUAUGCCUAGUAAAGGUUGAUAUAGCUUUGCAUGCGUGUGUUGAGAUUUGACUCAUUGAUUAGUUAGUAAGAAUUCCAUUAUUUUAUAAUUUAUCAUAUACAUGUAUGUAGCAAAUUCACAGCAAAAAGAUUUCAACAAUUUCACAGUGUCAGAUGUUGACUGUUCACUUCAGAUCGGAUGAUGCAGAACAACUAUUGCGUCCACAUAGUAAUUGUGUUAUAUCCAAAUUCAUAUAAUCACUAAUCAGUGUGGCCUCGAGGGAUGAGUGUGCAUCCGCGAGACCCCAUUUUGAGAGGAAUACCAAUUUUUGUUAUGUAUUGAUAUUGAUAUUGAUAUUUAAAUUUUACAUCAUCAUAUUAAUAUAUAAUUUCAAAAAUUAUAACAAAAUAUUUUACUCUUCAUCCCAUAAUAAAUGAGUCAUUUGCACAAAAAAAAUGUCCAAAAUAACUGAGUCAUUUCACUUUUGAAUACAAUCUUAUUUACUUUGUUUUCCUUUAUAACUCAAAUUAAUACUACUUUCAUCACUCACAAUUCAAUAUAUUUCACUUUGCAUUUAUGAUAGUGGAAAAUACAUACUUAACAAGAGCACUUAAAACCAUUUUUCUCCCACCUUCAUUUAUACAUUUUUUUUAAUAUGUGUGAAAUGAGCAAAUGACUCGGUUAAUUUGGGACAGAGGGAGUAUAAGAGAAAUGAUAUUUCAUAUUUGUAAAAUCAUUUUUUGACAAUUUUCUCUCUCAAACUCACAUUAUGUUUUUACUUUCUCUGUCUAUUGGUUUUAUCGGAUGGUUGGCACUUCAUUAACAACACUCAAUUGAUUUCAAUAAAUAACCAUGUAACAUAAAUGACAUUCACAUUUCCUUGACCAUGAUUCUUCUCAUUUCAAUGUCUUCUUAGUUUAUUUGUACACAUCAUCCCUUUCAAAAUCGAAGACUAACUUUACCGUUCUUCUUUCACCAUCAUGAUGAGAUUUUUCUAUAGUAAGAUAAAUCGGGUUAUUGUUGCUUGAUGACGAACCUAAUUAGCCUGUCAUCUAUAACUUUAUAUAUCACUUGUGUGAAAAAGCAUGUCACUCUAUCAACUUCAUUACCAAGUUUAGAAACAUUGAGCUCAACAAUGUUCUCCUUUAGAAUCAAUAUUUGGUUUCAAAUCAACUUAAAUUUCAAUAAUGUUUUGUUUCAAUUCAACGGAAGUCUCAACAAUGUUUGGUUUCAAUUCACUAUAAUAUUCAACAAUAUUAAUCAUGUCUUGAAAAUCAAUGAAGCCUCUCAAAUUUUGAAUCAAAGCAAGGGUUAAACAGCAAGUGCAUUCAAUCGGAUAAUUAUUUUUUGAAGGAAUUGGUUAAAUUUGUUAGAAAUGAUAUAUUAAAAAUAUCUUAAUCAAUAUUGUUACUAGAAGUUAUUUUUACAUAUGCUGCACUUAGAAAGCUGAAAACGACUUUUUACAUUCUUCCAAACAUAUAUAUAACUCCCAAACAUAAUUUUACACACCUAAGAUAUAUAUAACAAAUUAGAUUUUAACAUUACGACCUCCGGUUAAGUUUGAAGAGAUAUUUUAUCAUCUCAUCUAAUUGUCUUGGAUAGUCUUAUUUUCAUUUUGCGAAGUUAUCUUUUACUUUUUUUUUUUGGGAAAACAUAGGUUAUCUAAUUAUUUUGAUUAGCGAUAAGUUCCAAUUCUAAAUUAAUACAAGAAGCUACUGUAACUCCAUAGCUUGAUAGCUUCCACUCUUUGCCAACAUAGCUUUAUUGUUUUCUUUUAUUUCUUUGGAGAAAAAAACCAUGUAAUUUCACUACAACCAAAUUUUGGAUAUUGGAGAAAAAUCUCUUAAAUUUUGCAGAAUGGAGAAAAAUAUCUUUAAGAAAGAAGUUUUAUAUGGCUAAUACACCUACGAAGUUCAAGGGUUGACAUAAAAUACAUGGAAGAAGGAGAAUAAAUGUUUAUGUGGGACUGUAUAUGCAAUACGCUUCAUCCGAGGACUAUAAACAAUUCGUCCGGUGUGCUUGUUGGUCUUUGUGCCGACAAGCAUUUUCUUUAAAAACAUGCACAUAAGUUUUGUCGUUCAUUUAAAUGACCGACUAUCUCUAUUUUUGUCUGAGAUUGAACGUUGACUACCUGCUUAAGAGAUUCAGUUAUUUAAAAUUGUGUCAUAUCGUUUUUUUUAUUAGAGUUUUGUACAAUUUAAAGUUGAGAAAUUCAAAGUGUAGCAAGCAAGUAGCAACCACCACAUCAAAGGCUCAUCAACUGGAACCACACAAAAAGGAGAUGGACCACACUAAAUGGACCUAGCUAAUUAAGAUUAAAGGAAAAAAUUAUCUUCUUGAUUAACUGAAUAGAGAGCUAUUACACUCAACCAUCAUAUUGUCUAUUCUAUUUGAUUAUCAACCUAUCACUAUAUCUUAAGAUAAUUACAUCACCUUAAUCACCCGUUUUAGAAAAGUGCUAAAGUCAUUUUUCCGUUCUAUAUGUCACUAGUGCUAGUGCUACACUUAUAUCUAUCCUUGUUUCCAACCAAACUUAGCACUUCAUAUAUGAAGAUAAAAAGUGAUUAUUACGGACUUACUUUUAUGUUUUAGUUUUAAAAAUAUAAGAAAAAUUGUUUUUAGUCAUUGUUAUUUUGGUCGAUUCUCUUUAAUAUUUGUUUAUAGGAACUAAAAUUGAAAAUUGAUACACUUAUUAAGAUGGAAAUGAUAUUUUCCCUCAAUUGUCAUGCCUCAAACCAAGUACCAGAAGAUUGGAAGAUAGAAUCUUGCAAUUAAGUACGAAAAUGAUAUUUUAACUUAAAUAUUUACUAUGAGAAAAAGAUAUACUUUAAAUUUUAAUAUGACAUAAUGGUGAUGUUAAAAUUAAAAUUCAAUAAAAGAACAUCCAUUUCCAAUUAUUUAUUUAUUGCUAAAUUAAAGUAGAAAACAAGGUUGGCACCAAAAAAAAAGGGUAGGAAACAAGGUACUCAACAAGUGUCCACGUGAGGAACAAAAAAUGUAAAAUGUUUACAUAAUUUUCAGCUCCAUUAUUUUAAUGUCUCACAAGUCCAAUAUUAAUGAAACACUAUAACACCUUGGAUUACAAUCAGACUUAAAUUUUCACAAAGUUUCAACCCCACCACUUGAGAGGUUAAGCAUCAAGAAUCACUAUAAAUACAAGACUUUACCUGAAUGAAAAACCAAUAACAAUCAUAGACAUGAUUAUGUCCUUAUUUUUGAACAUAACCUGUUACAUUAUGUUCAUUUGUUCAUAGCUUCUUCUCUUCCUCUAUAAACAAAUUCUAAAACACCCCCUUUUUUUUUCUUCCUCUUAUCAUAAACAAUGUCUACAAACUUAAAUAAUCUGUCACUUUUUCACAAAACCUUUUCCCUCACCUUGUUUCUUUUCUCAGUAAAUUUUCUUUUCUUUCCAUGUUGUAACUCUCUUGAUGAACAAGGCCAAGCUCUUAUAGCAUGGAAGGAGAGUUUAAACACUACUUCAGAUGUAUUAGCAUCUUGGAACCUUUCAAACCAAACACCAUGUAAUUGGUUUGGUGUGAAGUGCAAUUUACAAGGAGAGGUAGAAGAGAUAAACUUGAAAUCAUUGAACUUGCAAGGCUCAUCAUUGCCUUCAAAUUUUCAACCUCUCAAGUCCUUAAAGGUUCUUGUCCUCUCGUCAACCAACAUAACAGGAAGGGUUCCAAAAGAAUUUGGAGACUAUCAAGAGCUCAUUUUCAUUGAUCUCAGUGAAAAUUAUCUCUUUGGAGAAAUCCCAGAUGAAAUUUGCAGGCUAAGCAAACUUCAAACUUUAGCUCUUCAUACAAACUCUCUUGAAGGAAAUAUUCCAUUCAACAUAGGAAAUUUACCAAGUCUUGUGAACUUGACACUCUAUGACAAUAAACUCAGCGGCGAAAUUCCGAAGAGUAUUGGCUUAUUAAGUAAGCUUCAAGUAUUCAGAGCUGGAGGCAAUAAAAACUUCAAGGGUGAGCUGCCAUCGGAGAUCGGAAGCUGCACCAACUUGGUCAUGUUAGGUCUUGCAGAAACCGGCAUUUCCGGUAGUAUUCCUUCUUCAAUAGGGAUGCUAAAAAAAUUACAGACCAUAGCCAUUUACACAACUCAGUUGUCAGGCUCUAUACCAGAAGAGAUAGGGAAUUGCAGUGAGUUGCAGAAUCUGUAUUUGUAUCAGAACUCAAUUUCUGGUUCAAUUCCACCUCAAAUUGGUGAGCUCAGAAAGCUUCAGAGUCUACUUUUAUGGCAAAACAAUAUGGUAGGAGCAAUUCCAGAAGAGCUUGGAAACUGCAGAGAGCUCAGUGAGAUAGAUUUGUCAGAAAAUCUUCUCACAGGUAGCAUACCAAUCAGUUUUGGAAAGCUAUCAAAUCUGCAAGGACUUCAACUGAGUGUUAAUCAGUUGUCAGGUAUUAUACCACCUGAAAUUUCAAACUGCAGUUCUUUGAUUCAGCUGGAAGUUGACAACAAUGCUAUUACUGGUGAGAUUCCUUCUGUUAUUGGCAACUUGAGAAACUUGACUCUCUUCUUUGCAUGGAAGAACAAGCUAACAGGAAAAAUCCCAAAUAGUCUUUCAGAGUGUCAAAAUCUUCAGGCACUUGAUCUUUCAUACAACAACCUAACUGGUUCGAUACCAAAACAACUAUUUGUGUUGAGGAAUCUAACUCAGCUUAUGCUUAUUUCCAAUGAUUUGGAAGGAUUAAUACCACCUGAUAUAGGUAACUGCACAAGUCUCUACAGAUUGAGGUUAAAUCAGAAUAGAUUGGUUGGUACCAUUCCAUCUGAAAUUGCCAACUUGAAGAACUUGAAUUUUUUGGACUUGCACUACAAUCAUCUUGUAGGGGAGAUUCCAUCUCAGUUCUCUGGUCUUAGCAAACUUGGAGUGCUUGAUCUCUCCCACAACAAGCUCUCAGGGAAUUUAGAUGCUAUUUCUAACCUUCAUAAUCUUGUUUCUUUAAAUGUUUCCUUCAAUGAAUUCUCUGGUGAAUUGCCUAACUCACCAUUCUUUAGGAAACUCCCUUUCAGUGAUCUCACUGGAAAUAAAGGUCUUCACAUUCCUGAUGGUGUUGCAACUCCAGCUAACAGAACAAGAGCCAAAUGUCGUGUUAGAUUAGAUAUGGAGAUUAUAUUGCUCAUUCUCUUGAGCAUCAGUGCAGUACUAAUACUUCUCACAAUCUAUGUUCUGGUUCGUGCUCAUGUUGCUGACGAAGCAUUCAUGAGAAAUAACAAUUCGGUGACAACUUUGUAUGAGAAGUUUGGAUUCUUCUCUAUUGAUAACAUUGUCAAGAAUUUCAAAGCAUCUAAUAUGAUUGACACCACAAAUUCUGGAGUUUUGUACAAGGUAACAAUUCCAAAAGGCCAUAUACUUACAGUUAAAAAGAUGUGGCCAGAAUCUAGAGCUUCUAGUUCUGAAAUUCAAAUGUUAAGUUCAAUCAAACAUAAGAAUAUCAUCAACCUUCUUGCUUGGGGAUCCUAUAAGAAUAUGAUGCUGCAGUUUUAUGACUACUUCCCUAGUCUGAGCUCAUUGCUUCAUGGUUCAGAAAAGGGAAAGUUAGAAUGGGAUACUAGGUAUGAAGUCAUCUUAGGCCUAGCUCAAGCACUUGCAUAUUUGCACCAUGAUUGUGUGCCUUCCAUAUUUCAUGGAGAUGUCAAAGCAACAAAUGUGUUAUUAGGUCCUGGUUUUCAUCCUUACCUUGCUUACUAUGGCCGGACAAAAAUUGCAAGUGAAAAGGGUGAAAAUACUGAUGCCAAUCCAGUUCAAAGACCUCCCUACUCCGAGAGUUCUUAUGGAUACAUAGAUCUUGGUAAUUUAUCUAUCUAUCUAUCUAUCUAUCUACAGGUCUAUCUUUAUGAUCUCAUUUCCCGCCUAAAACAUGUUUUAGUAUCUAUGUUUUUAGGCAGGUUUCACUAGUACCAGUUUUUCCACUAUAUUUAAGUUAGUUUGAGUAGUAAUUUUCAAUACUUUACAUAAACCAUUGCACAGUACUUAUUUUUAUUGUUUUGGCAUGUGUACAGAGCUUGACUCGUUGCAGAAGAUCAAUGAGAAAACUGACGUAUACAGUUUCGGUGUGGUCCUACUUGAGGUGCUGACAGGAAGGCACCCAUUAGAUCCAACUCUGCCAGGAGGUAUACACUUGGUUCAAUGGGUUAAGAAUCACUUGGCUAGCAAAGGAGACCCAUCUGGAAUUCUUGACUCAAAUCUUAGAGGGACUAAACCUACUGUUAUGCAUGAAAUACUACAGACUCUAGCUGUGUCAUUACUAUGUGUCAGUACAAAAGCUUAUGACCGUCCAACAAUGAAGGACACUGUUGCAAUGCUCAACCAAUUUCGAUACUUUGCUUAGAAUGUAUUAAAGGGAGUUUCAGUAGUGCAUGCUAAGAAUAUAGUUUCACAUGCAUCUUCUAACUGUUCCUUUAAUUUCUCAGAUGGCUUAAUCUGUUGAAUAGAGCCAUGCAAGAUUGCAAGUUGUAGAGAACCCAUGAUUGUGAAUGAUGUAAUGGAGUGCCAGUUAGAGCAGGCAAGAAUUACUAGAGUAAUUAAAUGUAAUCUUAGAUAUAAAAUGCAAAUUUCAAUUAUCCAUAAUAAAAUGCAUUCUAGAACCUUUAACUCAAGUUUUUAGUCUAAUUGGCUUCUCAUCAAUGUGACUGACAUAAAAGAUCUCCUUGGCCACAAAUCAAUGUGACUGUUUUAAGUUUUAUUUGCGGCAAACAAUCUAAAAUUUAAACAAAAGGUCACGUUUGGAUAAACCGAUGCUGUCAAUUGCGGAUCACCAUAAGUAACAGUUUAUUCAAAUUCUGCUUAUCUGCUAGGCAGCAAUGCUAUAGCGCAACUAUAGCCACUAUUUCACAAUAUUUUGUACUAAGUAGCGUAUCAUUGGACGACAGUGAUUUGUUCAAAUUCCACUAUGCAAUAGUGUAGUAGCACCGUAUAGCUGCUAUUUAACAACAUCGAUUCUAAUUCAUGAGCUUAAUUACAUGCUUAUUCAUAAAACGGUUGGACGGCUUAUAAAAAUAAGCUCAAAACAGUUCAGUGAAAUAUCACAUGUAAUAUAAAUACUUAUGUACCAGAUAAGUUCAAUAAGUUCUAAAUAAUCCUUGAUGAUAUUUUCGUAUGCCAGAAGUGAUGAAACAUCCCUAACUACCAACAAAGGAAGUUCAAGAAAGAGAGCAACCUAGAAGAUUGUGGAAGCUAAAACAAGAAUCUCCUAGGGAUAUGAUAUGUGUAAUUUGGGCAUACAAACUAAGAUUCCUAAAUUGCAUCCCUAUCUUUCUCCCUCACACACACAGCCUUUGAAUUCAAACAAUGACCACAUGGUCCCAUCCCAUGUUCAAUUCCUCACAUACCAUGUUCCAGCUGAAAGAGACUUUCCAGCGAUUGGAAACCUCCUUCAGAAGCACAGAUACUAAGAUUGUAUACCAAUAAUUACCAAUAAUCAUAUCCACAUGCAGGACCACUAUAGUGGAAUGAAGAUAACAUAUAUAAGGAAUACACAGCAAAUGCAUAUCCAAAUAUGGUCAAUGGAAUUUUCUAUCAAAUGCAAGGCUCACAAAAUUUCCUGUAAAGACAAAAAGUAUCGUAUUAUACUGUUUAAUAAGUUGUUUCUUACAUUACUUUUGUCUCUACCAAGGAAAAGGACUAAAAAAUAAUUCAGAACAAAAGCCUGAGGACCAAGAAAUACUUGAAUACGAGAACUCAUAGUGAGUUUGUCAUCUUGUAAAGUCAAGUUGCUUACAUUAUUCUAAAAAUACUCUAUUUUCUCACAUUUUCUUUUUCUUUAAAUUCAAACAAUGUUUUGUACCCUCAUCCAUGCAUGUGUAGAAUUUUUUAUUUACAUAACAAAAAGUUUAACUCUAAUCUAAGUCGCAACUUAAAACUUUGGCUCUUUCUAAGAAUGUGUUUUAUGCAAGAUCAAACUGAAAACCUCGUCCACAAACUCAGGAUUACUUAGUGCCGGAAACAAACACAUGAUAACACCAAAGCUUGAAAUCAAUUACACCGAAGCUUGAAAAUGCUUCACAAAAUUCAACAACAUCAUAACACAUUGAGAACACCGAGAAGCAAAAAGCAUCCAAACAAAAGCUUAACAAACUAAGUCACACCCAUAACGCAUUAAAUUCAUUGGUAUUGGUACUAGUUUGAUUAGAGAAUACUAAUAAUAAUUGAAUUAUCAUUUUGUAGGCAACAAAAACAUUAACAACAUAUCCAAAUUUUCAAUCUCUUUUCACCAAGAGAAAAGAAUCUCAAUAAAAAAAGGCAACCAAGUUCAUAUUCAAAACCUAUGAAGAACUAACAGACACCGACAUUAAAUACUAGCAACUCGAUUGACAUGGACAUGGACACCAGACAGACACACAACGCUAAUUUGAGAAAAUAACAUCAUUGGAUGCAAUUACGUGUGUCAAUAUCGUGUGUCAAUAACAUAAGUCGGACAUCAAACAAGUCCUCAAUCAAAAGUAUCGACCCUAGAGAGGUCUCAACCCUAAAUUUCUUUUCUUUUCACAACAUUGACAACUCAAACAGAACAAACAAAGCUAAAUAACAGAUAAAAAUAUAAUCAAAACAAACAAACAAAUGAUAAUGUAAAACAUUAGAUUUCAUUCACUAAAUUAAAAACAAAACUCAAAUUCCAUUCAUUCAAAUCCAACAACAUAAUCAAAACCAAUUAUAACAAUACAAACAAAAAACAAAACCCUAAUCAAAAUCAAUCAACAUUCUGCAUAAUAUCUUCAGCACCAAACUUAGUACCCUUCUCCUUAUCAGCGGCAGCACGUCCCUUCGCCUUCCUCUCAAGCAACGACUUCCUAUCCUUAUCCAAUCUCAGCUUAGUAACAACAACUUUGGAAGGAUCAACACCAACAUUAACAGUAGAACCAUUAACUUUCUCACGAGUAAUACGUUCAAUAUGAAUAACCCAUUUUUUGCGAUAAACUUGAACGAUUUUACCUUCACGGCCUUUGAAUGUUCCUCUAACGACUUGAACUUCAUCGUCUUUGCGAACUGGUAUGGAACGGACGUUGUAUUUGGAUCGGAGAUCGGUGGAGAGUGGUGCGCUCAUUAUCACACGGCGGAGACUUGAUGGGGCCGUGAAAUGCGCCUUUCGACUCUUUCGGCGGCUGCUUGAAACUCUUGGAUUGAACUUCAUCUUCUUCUUCACCUCUCUCUCUCACACACUCUCUCUGAAUGAAGAAUUAGGGUUUCGAUUUCGAACCUCAAAACCUUGUUUUGUGAUGAUGGUGAAAGAUUGGGUUUGGGCUUGGGCCUUUCGGAUCUCCGAUCAAAUAGCAACUUCUGGGAUUGAUGUUUGCACCCUCUUUGUUCUUGUAUGUAAUACUUUGGACGAUGUCUAAAAAUAACCUUGUAAAAUAAAAAAGAUAAAUAAUAUUUAUACAAUUAUUUUAUGAUAAUUUUUUGACAACUCAAAAAAUAUUUAUUUUCUCAAGUUUUAUUCUAGAAGCGAUGUGUUAUUAUAAGUUUUUAAAACAAUUUAUUUGAUCUUAUUAGGGAUGUUAAACAAAUUUGCACCAAUGAAUAUAGGAUAAAAUUCGUCAGAAACAUGAAACUGAGUAAUGUAAAAUAAGUAGAUAUUUUGGUUAUCAAUCAAUUAAUGGAUACAAAGAUGGAGUUCAUGGUAUUCUUACCUGUCGGUUUUCAUACAUGUUAGUAAAUGAGUAAAAUUAAUAAUAUGUCAUAUUUUAAUAUAAAACUUCUCCACAUGAAAGAAACUCUUACAUAAUAUUCAAAUUCUUGUUUAUUGUUGAUAAGAAAUUUCAUAGUCAAAUUGAAAAUGCAAUGUAUUAAUAUUUUUUAUGUUUUUAUGUGUUAAUGCUUUUUAGAGUUGUCAAAUGAUGAUGAAGAAAUCCUACACAAUACAACUAAUAAUUGCUUUUUAACAUAAUUGCAUUUGUUAAUAAAUAUUGUUAAUAAAUAAUGUGAUGGAUGUUAGUAUCUGCAUAUACACAGAGAUAUUUCAAAAUCCGCUAAAUAUUCAUUUAGCUUGAAUAUAUUUGUAUCCAAUAGAGCAUGUAGUGGAUGUCUAUUUGUGUUAAUGAAUAUUCAUUGUCAUAUCUCAUGUACUUUUAUUGUUAAAAAAUGAAGAAAAAAAAUGUAUUACAUCAUAAAUAAUAUAUAUAAUAUUUUUUUUGAAGAAGCUAAAAUGAAAUUAAUUCAAAACGCAAAGAAUCCUAGCUAGCACGAGGAAGGCUAGGCUAGGAGACUUAAAUAGCAACAUACAAAGGAAAAAUGUACCAUAUGUAUGCGGAACACUAAAACAAACACUCAUACAUCAAAUAAAAACUUUUACAAAAAACACCCUCCAUUGAGGGCCCCCGAAACCAAUAAAAACUAAACACCAAAACCACAAAGUCAUCUCCCAAAACCAAAGUAUAAACGCCCUCCAAAAUAACUAUCAAACCUACCAAAAACUUGUGCAACCGCACCUUGCUUCUCAUCUGCAGUUGAACGCCAUUAAGCACACCACUAACAUCCAUGUAUUUGAGAAACCCCAUCAACAGUAAACUCAUAGAAGAAGACCCACAAAAAUCAUAACCACCACAAGCACAAUCACAAAAACUAGCAGCACCACCACCACCAAAACUACCAUUAACCACCACAAAAAUCACCAUUACUCGUCACCAAAGACCAGCACCAGUCACCACAAUUUUGAAAUGCAUAUUUAUCAUAAAAAGUUUUUUGACUAAAUAUUUAUCUUAAAAUUUAAAUAUAAGAAGUAUUGUGAUUAAUUGGCAGUAUAAACAAAUAUACACUAAAAUCCAUUUUAGUAUCUCACAAUUUUGUUGCUUCUUGCAGGUCAUUUAAAUCUCUGACAAAAAAUAAUAACAAAUUAGUCCCUCAUAUUUUCAUACGGACGGCAAAUUAUGCCCUCAAUUAAUCUAUGACUGGUGCUAGUCACACAAAAAAAAAAACUAGUUACACUCAAAUUUAUUUAAAAUUUUACAAUAAUACCAAAAUUGCACUCUUCAUGUAAAUUUUUAAAAACCCAUCUUUUAUGAUCAUUCUGAACCCUUACCCCCUUUCAUCCACAAAUCACCAUAGGUGUGCAACCAAUAUCUGAAUCAACAUCUUUGUUAUUGAUCUGUACUAUAUUCAUAAAGGUUAGUGAAUUUCAUUUUCAAUGAGUUUCUAUUUGUUUUGGUAUGAGAUAUGUUCAAUUUAGGUUAGUGUAAAUUAAGUUUACUUAUGUUCAAUUUAGGUUAAUGUAAAUUUAGUUUACUUAUGUCAAUGUAAAUUAAGUUUACUUAUUAUGUUCAAUCUAGGUUAAUGUAAAUUUAGUUUACUUAUGUUCAAUCUAGGUUAAUGUAAAUUUAGUUUACUUACGUUCAAUCUAGAUAUAAGAGGUUAGUGUAAAUUCAGUUUACUCAAUCUAGGUUAAUGUAAAUUAAGUUUACUUAUGUUCAGUUUACUUAUUCAAUCUAGGUUAAUGUAAAUUUAGUUUACUUAUGUUCAAUGUAAAUUAAGUUUACUUUCAAUUUAGGUUAAUGUAAAUUUAGUUUACUUAUGUUCAACUUAGGGGUAUAUUAGUCAUUCUAAGGUGUAACUUGUUUUUUUGGGGUGUGACUAGCACCGGUCUUAAUCUAUUCUUGUAUGAUGAAAGUAUUAUUAACUAAAGUAACAUUAUCAUUUCACAAUUGUCUCGAAAAGGAUUAUAACUAUGCCAUUUGAAGCUACAAAAUCAAAACUUUUAGUAUUGAGUUGAUACCUCAUGAACUGAUGUAAUGGUGAUGACUUACUCCUCUCACAAAAAAAAUACUCUCAGUUAAGUAAUAUUAUGAUUUUUGUACCAAAAAAAAAGAAGUAAUAUUAUGAUUUAUGAGCCGUUACUGAAGAGUUCUCAGACAGGUGCAUCCAACCAGGUUCUGCAAGUCUCCAUCAUUAUGAAAAACAAUAAAAAUCAAAAGUUGCCAUUAUAUCAUCAAUACCACUCAUACAGCUCUAGAAGCUGUAAAUUCUAAUAAUGGCUUUAAUUGGAUAAAUAAUCAUGUUGCUGAUUUUUCUAGAGUAAGUAGACUUUAAAACAAUCUUACAUCAAUUGUUUACAUCAUAUCAGACAGCACCAUCAAAAAAUGGGCACACAGUGUGCUCACAAGUUGUAGCAUCUCCUAAGUGGUGCUUUCUGCUUUAUCUCACUCAGCCUCAAUGUAAAAAAGAAAGUAGCUUCAGUGAACUCAGACAAGUGCAGUCAUGUUUGUGUGCUCAAAUGCAUUAUGGCCUUGAGCCACAAAAUGAAGCAAUGAAAUGCUGGUUUUAUUGCCAUAGCAUUAUGAGACAAUGGACAGCCCUACCAUAAUACACACUAUACAAAUACAAUACAUCAAACAUGAUGGUCCAUGGACCCCACCAAAUGGAUUUCAGAUUAGUCUAUGAAAUUUGGAUGUCCCAGUUGUGCACUAUGGAGGAUUCUGCUCAUGCCUAUCUAGUUUGUUUACUAUGAUGCUAAUGACAUUCCAGUCAAAACCACGAUAUUGAAGCCAUCGAAUAAUCCUUGAUUUCCUUGUCUCCUUCGGAACAUUCUGACCUUUGAACCACUGCUUUGAGGCCUGAACAUAAAGAUGAUCAAUGGAUUGCUUUGACAAGCCAAUAACUGUCUUCUCUUCUCCAGCACAAUCAUUGUUGUCCUUAAAAACCACUUCAACUGCUUUUUCAGCAUCAGUUUGACUAACUCCUUUCUUGAACAGUGCCUGCAACAAGAAUUAAAGUCCAUCACACAAAAAUAUUUUCGUUGAUAAUAAUAGUAGCAAGUAUAUGGUUCUUAAACGCAUGCGCGACCAUGAAAACAAUGUCACAGGCCAUGCCUUAUCCAUAAGCUCUCUAGUAUUAUAAAGUAAUAGGACAUAAUUAUGAAAUGAACAAAAAAGUAGAUGCACAUUGCUAGGUUAAUUUGCAAGAUGCUGUCACAAUGUACGACAUCUUUCACUCCUAAUACUACAUAAGUUAAAAUGAAGAUGAGUUUAGCAAGCACAGUAUAAUCGAGAUACCGACAAAAUAUUUCGUCUUUCGACUUGCUACGAAGCUAAUAAGUAAUAACUAAAGACAGCAAAGUGUUGGCAGUGUAUUAGAAAGCAAAAAGUACAAGGAUGAACAAAAGGCCGGAAUAGACUAGCUUACUUGUUUGAUCCGUCUCGGCCCCCAAGUAGACGAAGACCAUCUAGAUUGAGAAUAUGAUUCAGCAUACAGCCUAUCAUUGAUGAACCCUCUGAAACAAAGGGAUAAAAUCAUAAAACAUGACCAUAAUCCCAAAGAAUGUAUUAAAAUUCAGCAAAUUCAGUUUUUUAUAAAUGAACUUGAAAAGGUACAUUACGAAAAGUACUACACGUGAUUCUUUUCAAACUGCAGAGAAGGUUUACUGAACUAGUCAGACAUUAAAUUUUGUUGCAAACAUGCUGUUUCACACAGAUACAAGAAGCACUAUCAUAUAUUCAUAUUAAUAUCAAUCAAAUUGGUUUAUAUAAACUUUGAAAUUUUUGGAUUCUUGUAUGAUAGAUUAUUUUAAAUAGAAACCUGCAUAUAUAAAUUAAUGAUGUGCUUGAACUAAUAUUUAUUAUAGAGUAUGUACUUUUUUUUUUGUCUCCAUUCCUUUUUCCCUAUUGUCUGUUGUCUAAACAUGUUACAUCCAUCUUCUCUUCACGCAAAAAAUGGAGGAAAGAUAGCUCAUCAGCUUCGAGGAUCUAAACAGUUAAAACUCUUAUAAAGGUGUCGCUAUGUGUUGAUAAUCUAAAAAAUAUCGAUAUUAUCAACUACAUCAAAGUUAAAAUGGUAAAUUAAUAAGAGGAAUGCUAGCAACACUCUCUUUUGAGAACUCUCUCCAGCACUCACUCUUUUAUUGGGUGAAAUCAAUGUAGGACCUACACUUUGGAAAUGGAACCCACAUAAAGUGGUGGGACAUACAUUGAUUUCACCUAAUAAAAGAGUGAGUGCUAGAGAGAGUGCUCAAAAGAGAGUGUUGCUAGCAUUCCUCAAUUAAUAAACAUAUUCCUAACUACACAGGGUGGAUCACUCUAAAACACUCAAAAGUCAAAACAAUCAUUCUUCUUCUACACCGGAUUAUCUAGCUACUAUUCUCAUGGAGACCCUGCGACUGAUUUUACGUUAGCUAGAGUUGCAUCUGUUAUUACGGAUGUUAAGUCAUCUUCAUGACAGCCAUCUGUAUCUGUUAUUGCAGACAUCUUAUUUUCAAGGUCAAAAAUCGCGUAACGUACAUAUUCUUACUUAGUUAAACUGAAUAGAACAUGAUAAAAACUGGAUUUUAGAAAAGAAAACAAAAUUUCUUAUAAUGGUAAUGUUAGGAUACUGGGUUGGACUUAUGCCCAAUAAAUGGGUGUUGAAUAGGAAAACUGGAGAGGGAUGGCUGAUGUGGCAAUUAGUUGGAAUAUGCAACAUGAUUAUAAGGGGUGGAAGUAAGAGAGGGAACAUUCAUUCAGAAAUAUUGCUAGAGUUUGUUAGGAGAUUUUCUCUCUGGUAGGAGCAUAUUGCUCUGGUUAGGAGUUCUUGAACUCUGGUUAUCCUUUCUUUUUCCGUUUCCACCAUUGUAAAGCUCGAGUUCAUCACUUUUCAAUUCAAUAAUAUACGGUUAAAUUAUUUAUUUUACUGGGUUCUAUCAGGUACAUUUGGAAAUGGCUGAUAAAUAACAGUCCAACAAUUUUGUUAUGAAGUUAGCUACAUACUGUCUCUGGAGCUUGUUUAUCACUGCCUCCACUGCAUCAGGAGAGAAUCUCUUGCUAAGCAAUUUCUUUCUCAACUCAACUGCUGUGAGUGCCCUGCGGAGUAAGAAGAUAGGCAUGCUUAAAAGAAAAGACAGCAUUUGGCAUUGAAUGUAUAUGCACGGUCCUAAGUCCAAAAUGUAAAAAAUAUUAGAGGCAUGUUAUUUGAACCAUUUUUGGGACAACCAAAGAUAUACAAAGAAAUGUAGGUAGUGGCACGAAAACCAGAGCAAUAGAGAGAGAAAGUAAGAACACAAUGAGAGUAUGAGAGAGAGUUGUCCCAAAAGUUGUUACAAAAUGGUUUUACAAAUAUCAUUUCUCAAAAUAUUAGCGGACUUGAAUCAUUAUAAAAUUUCUUCCCUUUGUUAAUAACUUACAAGCAAUAACAAAUCCAGGUAAUUAAAUGUUUUGAUAGUUGAUUGAUACUGUUAAAAAUGUUUCAAAAGGAGAUAGUAAUUACAUUGCAGAAGUAACACAAUAUGCUUUGAAAUGAUCGUUUAGCUCUGUGGUUUUAUACUGCCAGUUUUCUUCAGAUAUGUGACAAUUGCCUUACCUCGGUAGGAAGCACAGUCACAAUUGAAUGUCAGUGUUAAGAACACGUGAUGUAAAGAGACAAGAAAAACGAUAUAUUUAUCACGAAAAUGUUUGAUUUCUCUUGCACUAAAUUAGGAAAACAUAAUGCUUCAUAUUCUCUUCAAUUUGGCUGACCAUGCAGCAUAAUAAACUAUUGUUGUGUUGAACAAGUUAUGUUUCAAGUUGGAGAUGAGGGAACUAACCUAGAUGCAAGUAAUUUGACAGCCGAUUGUUCAGCAUCAUUGGUAAAUUUGUCAACACGUAUGAAAUCCUGUUCACAAGAAUCUCCAACCUCUUCCAUUUGUUCAGAACCUAGAAUCCACAAAUUAACAUGAUCGGAACAACUUUAUUUCUUAGAUAAAAAAGUUGUAAGUGUUAUAAGUUAUAACUAUGAUUUUAAAGCUUACUAAAUGAUUUUGUAGCUGAAUAUUCUGUCACAACAAAUUGAUAGAAAGAAUUUAAAUUGGCUAAAACAGGAUAUGAAAAAACACUUGAUGCUAAAAUUUUAAAAGGUAAAUUGGAAAAACAAAUGAACACGGUGAAUCAAGAAGCAUAAACCUAUCAUGAUCAUCCAUCCUAGAUAUUAAUGAUUAAGGAGAUUCUAUCAAGCUCUAGAGAAAAUUAAUGUUGGUUACCCAUAAGAUAAGACAAAUACUGUUUUUCCUUUCUUCCCAGUUUCCCCCCGUAAUAAUUUCAAAUUUUUGUUAAGAGCUUACAUUUAUUCAAUUUAUCAGAUACAAUGACCCUCAACUAUAAUGAAAACUCUGAACCGCGAACAAUCUCUCAAUAAAUGGAAAACACUAGUCUUUAUACAUAUACAAAAUUUAUUGAACAGUUUAGCACUCGGUUAAUCAUGGUUUAAACGGCAAAUAAUCAACUGUCUAGGGAUGAUUUAAAAAGUGAACAAAUAGUGUCCAAAAUAUAUAGCCGGCCACAAAGUAAGCUCCGAUGUGUGUCUAACACAGAUCUAGUUCCCCUGACCCAAUUUUUUGUUACAUCUAAUCCUGCAGGUGUAUCCUAAUAAACUCACCACAUAGAUAAGUUAUAACUUCACCUACAGCAUGCUGGUACUUUGGUAAUUGGUACAAUGUAAGAAUAUCAUGUCACCACACUUUAAGUAACCGAUCUCGUGCCAAGCAUCAAAUUUAAUUGUAAGGCUUAAACUCACAGUUCUUUAGUGUCUAGAUACCUCGUGAAUUGGUAGUACUGAUGUAGUUCUGCUGUGUAGUGAAACACAAGUAACUCCAAAAUGAUAAAAUCAGUGUUUUCAAAACUGAAUGAACGGACCAACCAGUUGAACCUUGAAUUGACUUUUAUUAUAGGUCGGUUAUUUUCACGGUUUCAUCUCUGUUCGGGCGGUUUAAGCUAGUUGAACCAUGACCUAGAAGCCUCGCCGGUUCAAUGUCUAGUUAGGUUUUUAAAAAAUUGGAUAAAUAGAAUGACGUCAUAGGCCAAAUUUGGAUUAACUUAAUGGAAGAUUUCAAUCAAAAUAAGUUUAUAUUCUUAAGAAAAAGUACUCAUAGGCUAAGUGUUCGAGCAUAAGUUAAAUGUGAAAGCAUCUAUAACUAGUUUACCUUCUUCACUAUCAUCAAAGAGCAACUCACUAUGAAAUUCAUCUAGAUUUUGAGAAGUUUCACAAUGUGCAAUUGUUGCAUGCCCAAUUUUCCCAUCAUUUAUCUUGAUUACACUUCCAUCAGCAAAACUACAAUACUCUAAAUGACGAAUUUUCACCCUGCAUGAUGUGUUAGGAAUGUACCUAACAGCAACACAACAAGAACUAAAGUCUCUCCUCUUGAAGCAUUCAAUCCGAAACUUCCAAAUGUUCCUGAUUUCAAUUUCAAUAACCAAAAAACACAAGUCAUAAAAAAAAAACAAAAGUUAUAAGAAUCAUGACCAAAACAUUACAAAAUCAUGACAAAAACAUUACUACAAAAUAUGGCCCUGUUUGGAUAAACAACAUAUUUGAAGCUUAUAGCACAAGCGCUGACGUAUAAGCUAAAAACAACUUACUAACAAUGUCUUAAGCUGUUUCCAUAAGUUCUCCCAAACAAUCUCACGAAACUUAUGAGAGUGGAUAACCUCAAAUGAGGAACUAAAAGCUUGAAUUUUUACAAGAAUUUCCAUCAACCCAUUACAACCAAUUGGUUAGCUAAAUUUGAACUCAAUUAUUAAUUAAAAACUGAAAAAGAAUCAAACUUUUCUGUGAUUUUAUUAAAAGCUUGAAUUUUUACACGAACUUCCAUCAACCCAUUACAAUUCAACCAAUUGGGUAUCUAAAUUAGAACUCGAUUAUUCAUCUAAACUGAAAAAGAAUCAAACUUUUCAGUGAUUUGGUUUUUCAACUGUAGCAAACAAAUGGGUCAUAAAUUUUUGGAGAUAAAUGGAAUAAUAUAAAAUAGUAGUUACCUGGGAAUUGAAUAAAUGCGAGGUUGAAGAUGAGAUGUGAUUUUGAAGCCAAUGUUUCCCGCUAAAUUUCUUGCCAUGUUCAUGUAACCAAAAUUUGCGUCGUAGGAAGGAUUUCUCACUCCUUGUUUCUUUUCAUUUUGCACCCUCUUCUUUUUCUGUUUUUUUGGUCCCUCUUAAUAAAACGUAUAUACUUAAUACCUAUGAUAUUCUUGCUUAAUUAGCCCUCAAAUU